Molecule: long non-coding RNA, 51413 nt
Filed under: Spirodela polyrhiza (greater duckweed)
Lineage: Eukaryota; Viridiplantae; Streptophyta; Magnoliopsida; Alismatales; Araceae
Description: long non-coding RNA (SPOL_LNC001044)
Source: RNAcentral
CGUCGCCGACAUCGACUGUGGCGACGCCGGUAAUCCGCUUGCGGUCGUUGACUACGUCCACGAAAUCUACAGCUUCUACCGGGAAUCAGAGGUGAAGAGAGCAUUCCUCCAUUAAUGGAAGCUAUUUCUCCUCUCUGAUCGUUCAUUUUCUGUCAAUUAAUGGAGAAUUAGAAGCGUGCCCACAUGAUUAUGUUAGUUGGGAGUAAUAAAAAUAGUAGUUUUGGAGAGUACCCGUUGGCUGGAGUCAAUUGAGGAGCUGAGGGUCUUCGUAAUUUGCAGGCCUCCGGCUGCGUCUGCCCUAAUUAUAUGGCUAACCAGUUCGACAUCAACGAGAAGAUGAGGGCCAUCUUAAUCGACUGGCUGAUAGAGGUGCUGCGAUCGAAGUCCCCCUUUUUUUUUUUCUUUCCAAGUUUCUUCUUCCAGCGACCUCGAGAACUUCAGAUUGCAUGAACGAGAAUCGCUCGCAGGUGCACCACAAGUUUGAUCUGCUGGACGAGACCCUGUUCUUGACCGUGAACAUCAUCGACAGAUUCCUGGCCCGCCAAUCGGUGGUCAGGAAGAAGCUCCAGCUGGUGGGGGUCACCGCCAUGCUCCUCGCCUGCAAGUACGAGGAGGUCUCCGUCCCAGUCGUGGAGGAUCUGGUCAUAAUCUGCGACCGAGCUUACACCAGAUCGGAGAUCCUGGAGAUGGUAGUCCCUCUAUCUGAUCUGCCCGCCGUGUUUAAAGCAGCCCUCAUCAAGAACCCUAAUUUUUUUUUCUUCUGUUCUUCCUCAGGAGAGAUUGAUGGUGAACACUCUUCAGUUCAAUAUGUCCGUGCCCACGACUUACGUCUUCAUGAGGAGGUUUCUGAAGGCGGCAGAGUCCGACAGAGAGGUAUCUUCAUCAUCGUCUCCAUCCUCCGUUUUUUUUUUGUUGCUCUGUUCUUCCAUUCCUCCAUCUGGAUUCUGAGGGGAUAAUGCUCCGACAGCUGGAGGUCCAUUCCUUUUACAUUAUUGAGCUGUGCCUGGUGGAGUACGAGAUGCUCAAGUUCCCCCCUUCGUUGCUGGCCGCCGCGGCGAUCUACACCGCCCAGUGCUCCCUCCGGCGGUUCAGUACCUGGACCAGGACCUCCGAGCUCCACACCGGCUACUCCGAAGACCAGCUACUGUGAGCCCCCUUCUUCUUCUUCAUCAUCAUCUUCUUCUCCCUCAUCUUCUAUAUCUUCGUCAUCAUCUUCUUCUCCCUCAUCUUCCUUAUCUUCAUCAUCAUCAUCUUCUUCCUUCAUCUUGUUCUUCUUGGUCUCUGAUUGAAGGAGCUUGUGGAGUUUUUCAGGGAGUGCUCCAGGAUGAUGGUGGACUUCCACCAGAAGGCAGGGGCGGGGAAGCUCACCGGGGUCCACAGGAAGUACAGCACCUUCAGGUUUGGGUACGCUGCAAGGUCCGAACCAGCUCUGUUCCUCCUGGACAGACGACCGUAGCUUAAUUAAACUCUUCUGCUGCAAAGACGAAGAUUGGAAGGAGGAGUUAACCACCAACAACAGAAAUCUGACUUUCUUGGUCUUCUGGUGCAAUCGAAGUUGCAGAGAGAGCAGGCAACUGAAGUUGCAGAAGCUUGUGGAUUGAUUGAGAUGAAGCGCCGAGCUGCUCUUUUAGCUUUUCCAUCAGCCUAACCAAUACAUUCAUUACCUCUGAUGAUGUGCUGACCGCCGGGUUGCUUCGAAUUUUUCGUGAAUGGGGGGGGGCCAAUAAUCGAUCAGAAUCUUCGAAACAGUUCCCCCUUGUAGAUCUGACCUUCAUUCAACGUGGUGAUUUCCUCAGUUCUGAGCAAUCCACUCUUCCGCAAUCUUCAGAAUGAAACCUGUCGGCUCCUCGGAUUUCUCCUAACCGUAAGAAUAUUCUGCACCAAUUUACAGUGACAGGAACAUUCGCCACUGGAUUAACGAUAAAAAAGCCAGAGAAAAAUUAUAAUUUCCGGAUAAUCAGAGUAAUAAACAUAACCAGCCAUAUUGAUUUUAUUCUGGAUGAUGAGAAAAACCUGAGGAUGCCAAAAUACCACAGAGCCAGCGAGAGAGAAAAUAAAAAAUAAAAUGGCAAAAACCUUAACAGAGGGUGACAGUCUGGGAAGGAACCACCAAUUGUGGUUGAUCAAUUGGGUGAUGAAUUCAACCACAGGGAAAAUUCGGCAAAAGAUUGGUCUCAUAUGCUUUGGAUGAAAGCUGGCACGUCUCCAGAAGACGUUAUUGCUGGUUCCUGGCAUUAACCUCUCUCACCAGCAGCGGCCGCCCAAAAAAUUCCUGCAUUAGCAAAAGCAGCAAAGAAAUGCACCAUUUUAUCAUCAUCACACGGGCAUUAUUUAUAAAUAAAUAUAGCUCCGAGUGUGUGGGAGUAGAGCCCAAGAACGAAUGAGGUACCGUUCCGCUUGAUAACACAGCAGCUUGGAGUUCUUCAAUGUUGGAGAAUGAGAGAAACCCGUACACACGCCUCUUUCCAGACUUUCUAUCACGAAACAAUUUGAUGCUGACCACUGUUCCAAACUGGCUAAAAUGCUGUCUCAAGUCGGCAGGUUGCGUAGACCAUGGGAGAUUGCCAACAUAGACCUUAUGCGGGCCUUCAUAGAAGAUGACUUUCCUGGUGUCUGCAUUUAAAUUUGCAGUAUUUUUUUUCCCAGACGCCAUUUCAGCUGAAAAUCUGACACGCAGUUCUCGCCCUCCUAAUUCCUAGACGAAGGUAAAACCAGGCAAAGUUAGUGUUAAAACACACCCAUACAUACACAUCCAAACUACUCUCUCUCUCUCUCUCUCUCUCUAUCUAUCUCUCUCUAUGUAUAUGCAUACAUAGACACAUUUACUUAUACAGCAUAAAAGAUGGGCACUUGACUUACGGAUCCAUCCAAGGCAGCCACAGCCUCUGUAGCUUCAAGAAUAGAACUCAUAGUAACAAGGCCACAGCCCCGGCUAACACCAGUUUCAGGGUUCCUUGAAACCUACACAGGCAUCCCGAGAAUAAGUAAGAAUCGAUCAGGAAGAAACUUUAACAGCCGAAUUCGCAGAGACACGCCAGUCGAUCCACCAAUAUCGCACGAUUGGUGGCUUGAUGCUCACAUAAUAAUCCAGCCAAAGAUUUAGCUCAACUCGCUUGCAGUCGAAUCAGCCAAGUCAGUGUUUCCAGAGAAUGAUGGAGGCGUUAGAGUUAUGGUUCAACUGGACUACGAUCAAAUUCUUCAUCCAAAAACUGAGGUAUUCUACGAAGGAUCGAGCCUUCGUAAGUUGAGGAAAUUUGAGGAAAUUGCCACAUAUCUAGUCAAUAUAGCGGUUCAAUUUGAGGAAAUUUCAGAUCACCAAGAACUGCAAUGUCCUUUCUAGACGCCAUCAGGAGUGAGAGGAUCAUCAAUCUAUCACGAUGGUAAAUGAAAUAGAGCACCCAAGGGCACACUAUUUUUCCAGUCAACCAACAAAAUUUUCUCCACGAAUGCGAGAAUUCCAAAAAGAGAUCUGAAUGUAUAAUUUCCCAGAAACUCGGGAACACGUCUUCUAUAGAUGGAUCGCGAAUUCAAUUGUAUCACGAAACCGAUUGAAGAAUUGGGGAGAUGAAUACGAAAUUGGAGCCUCCUGCUUCAGAGAAGAAACUACGCGCAUCUGAAGGUCCGAGACUGUGAGACCUUACCUCCACUGAUUGGACGGUGCCGUAGGGAGAGAAGACAUCAAGAAGGUCUGAGAUGUCAGUGCUCCUGGGCAGGUUGCAGACGUAGAGCUCAUACGGCCGCAAUCUAGCUUUCCCUCCGGUUGCCUUCUUUUCGUCCACACCUUCGGUAGCUUCUUCUCCGACAUCCUGCUCGGCCGAAGCGGCAGCUGCGUCAACUUCUGCGACGGAAUGAAUCCUCGACCCCUUCCGGUCCCGCGACCCGAGGACGACACUGAAGAGAGGAAACGGAGAGGUGGAGACGGAAACGCAGCAAUGUCCAGGCGACGAUGGGGAAGCGAAGAGAGUGGCGCAUGGAGAAGCCAGAAGGCCGGGCUUGCGGGGCACGGCGAGCUUGGUGGAUGCAGGAAAUGGGGCGAAGCUAGAAGACGCCAUGGCUUCCACUGCCAACUGGUGCUGCUUGCUCCCGUCGUCAACGACAGGAGGAUAAGGGAGGAGAACGAUUUCAGCCACUAGAAAACAUUCCAGGAAGUCAUUCUCUUCAAAACAAUGCCUUCCUCCUUCGAUCCAGGCAUUAUCCUCUUGAGUGGCCUCGACAGCCCCUUAUGUUCCCAGAACCCAUUCUCGUAACAGGAAGAAAACCAUUCCUAGAAGCCAUUCCUGGAAACGGAAAUGCUGUCAUUCCUCCCCCUUCGUUAACCGUUUCUCAGUCCGGCCCAAUAAAGGCCAGACUUAUUGGGCCUCAAUGUUUGCGAAAGUCGCAAUUAUCGACGACCAGAACUGUAAACACCUGUACAAAAAGCGUAAGGGCAUAUACACAAUUAAUAAUAAUAACCAGGAUUUAAACAGUAAAAACAGGCGAGGGCGUGGUGAUGUGGGGACCAGAUUUCGAAUUGACGCGGGGAAGGAUUCGAAAUUUCACGGGCCGGUGUGGGGCCCACAUGUCGGAUCCGGUCCAACUGAUUCUGACCUCGCAUUGGCCCGGAAGCGCUUUUCAGACGAGAAAUCAUGAUAAUUGCAUUAUUUUUUUAUAAUAUAAUAACCAUAAAAUUAUUCGAUCAUUCCAUAAUGUCUUUUUCCUUGUUUGGAAUUAUACUAUCUUUGACCUGUUCUUGAUCAGUCGAAAGGAUUGACUUUCUGGGGGAUUUUAGACUUUGAUAUUGCUAAUAAAUCAUUAUAAUUGCGUGAAAAUUUGAGAAACUAGACCGAUAAGAUGACUGUAAAAUUGUUCUGUAAUUCCAUGAUGUACUACUUUCCUUCACUGAGAUUAUAAUAUUUUUUACCUGUAACUCGUUCGUGAUCAGUCAAAAGUGUCGAAUAUCGUACCAUUUAGACUUCGAUAUAGGCAAGAUCCAAGAAGGGUGGUAAAAAAAAUCAUAAUUUUAAACUGGGCCCAAGAGCUGGUUAACUUUUGGAAAUAAAUUACAGUCGUCGAGGCAUCGAAGGCGGAGCAGGCUCGUGGGGGAGGGGCUCUGUACGGGCCUGCUGUGUUGCCCAGUAAUGGCGUCCUCACGGAGCUCGCGCGUGCUUGGUGGGUGCUGAAUGCUGCUGCUGCUGCUGCUGCCAUUGCUCCUCUGAUCCCAGGGUCCGGCCACAGUGGGGGGAGGCAGGGAGUGGCUGGAGGUCACUGGGGUUGUCCCCUUGUGUCGAUGCGGAGGUUGUGGACUGUGCUCCUGGCGACAAGGUCGAGGAUAGGAGUCUGAGGGAGCGGCCAAGAACGCGGCAUUUUGGAUGGGGUCGAUGUCGGGUGGUCGGCACCAGAAGGGCGGAGGAGGGGCGGGAGGUGGGGGGAUCUCCACCAGAUGGGUGUGUCUUCUCUGCAUCUCCUGCUUCUGCUUCGGCGCGUUCGUCGUCAACAGGUUCGCCUCCUCUCGUCGUUGGUCGAAAUCUCUUUUAUCAGGAACAACCGCCGUUUUUCUUGCAUGGAAGGAACUGGGGUGGAGAUAGAUUGCACAACUUUUCGGUGCUCUGUUCCUCGUUUCUUGAAGUUUUCAUCCCAGCAUUAUCAUCCUCUCACCCCCACACAUCCGAGGAGUUUCUUCUUAUUUUCUCAUUCUAGAAACACUUAUUUAUUUAUUUAUUUCAGUCGCAGGUGAAUGAUUCUUUUGAUCUUGUGCUUCUCACUUUUUUCUACACUCUAUCGUUAUGUGAUUACUAUUGGUAGGUUUCUGGGUGAUCAUCCUGGUGCAUGAAGUGGGACAAAUCGAUAUAGAAAAAUAGGCAGGCGACUUGCUACAUCUAGAAGUGAGUUUCUUCAAGAUGGAGAAGAUUGGAUGUUGGGUUUCAGCAAGGCUGGGUAAAGGGACUCGAUGCCUUCUCUGUCAAGUUUGCUAACCAUUUUCAGCGGGACUUUGGUGCCGUCAUGUUACCGUCUUGGAUUCUUGUUCUCCUUUGAGGGGAAGCAUUAAAAUCUGAAUCAGUUCCAUCUUGACAUAGGGUUUGGAGAUUCCUGGUCAGUGAUUGAUAUCUCCUGUUCUGUUUUCUAUGAUUUAGGCGUUUUUUUUGAAACUGGACUGUGCCCAAAAUCGACUAAACUUGAAAGAGGAAGAUGUGGAUGUGCAUCAUAUUUGGAAACAAUGGGGAUUCAAUGCCCAGUAAGUAGCCGGGAUGUGGGCUCAUUUGCACCAUUUUAGGGAUUUAUGUCCUUUUGGGAGAGAUGCAUUCGGCUUUGAGAGAUAUUUUUGGAAUCUGUGACAAUUAUAAUGGAUAGGAUCAAGAGACGAUCAUUGAUGUUGGCUGGAUGCAGAUGAUAAUCAUGGUAUAUCGUGGACAGAAAGUGAAGCAUUUAGGUGGUAUGAACUCAUUUUGAGUCACUCACUCCAUCUUUACACAGAAAAAUUUUGGCUGAGGAAUCCUCAUGCCAAAAUAGUCAUUGUUACCAUCAGCCUUUUAUUGUUGUAAAUAACCUUACGUGUUCAUCUGCCAUUCUUCUUAUGCAGUUUUUCCUUUUCUUCUUCCCUUCUCUUUUCUCAUGUUGCUGCAUUAUGGCUGCACAUGUACCCACUCAAGUUUCUGCUGUUUUGAGUUCAACAGGCGUAACCAAGUAAUGAAGAACAAUGUUUCUAGUACCUUUCUAUUUAUGUUGCUAAAAUCUGUCCUACUUUCUAAGCUCCUUCUUAGCUUGCCCCACAUCUCACAGGAUACUGUUUGUUCCUGAGACAACUGGGGCAGAUGGUGAGAGAUCAGGUGCCCAGAAGGUCAAGAAAGCCCCUCACCCAGAUAUUAACUGUGGAGACAAGGUUAGUCUCUGCAGAUUCUUUUUUGAAUGCAUGCUUUGAAUAGCAUGCUUCCGACGAUUGAUACCAAGUACCCCGGUGUCUAUCCAGACACAAAUAUUUACAUUCAUUAAAGCCAAUUUCACUUUGUGUUUCAGGGUGCCUUUGACGUUCUUACUCAGGUUUCACAAACUCAUGAUGUGAUCAUGUAAGCUUUUGUAUUCCUUCAUGGUUGAUCUUUACAUAGUGUCUGUCUUCAAUUUAUUCAAGAUUUCUUGGUAUUUCUUUUUUUUUUUGAUUGUUAUGAGCUCGUCCACUCAAACUUUUUGUGUUGAUACAAUUGUGCAUGCACGGUUGGCUCUUUAGGACCUUGGAUAGAACGAUCUCUACCCUAGAAAUGCAACUGGCAUCAGCUAGAUCUGCUCAGGGGAGUAGCUGGAACCAAUCUCCGGCGUCAGUGAAACAAGGAGCCAACAAACCAAAGCAGCGUAACAAGGCAUUUUUUGUAAUGGGAAUCAUUACAGCAUUCAGCAGCAGAAGGAGGAGGGACUCCAUUAGGCAGACCUGGAUGCCCCAAGGUGCAUGCCUUUCUUAUUCAUCGACAACGUGCCAUCAUGAGGUACAAUUUUCUUGUCAUUUUGCAUCUCUGAUUUAUAGAUUAUUUCUUAAACUUCCAGGGGAAACUUUGUGGAAACUGGAGGUUGAGAAAGGAAUUAUCAUGCGAUUUGUUAUCGGGCACAGGUAGUAUCUUCUUCAUUUCUUGCAUUUUGGAUCGAUGCUUCAUUAUACUACUUAUUGCAUCUUAAUGCCUCGCUGACUUUUGCACUGUAGUUCAACCCCCAAAGGCGUCCUUGAUCGUGCUAUUGACGCUGAAGAAGAACAGUAUCAUGAUUUCCUGAGAUUGGUAUCCCACAGGGCCUGCAAUCUUUGUCCCUCAACUCUCUGUUCUGGGAUGCCACCGCAGUCUUCAUGACACGAUCCUGGGUUCAUUCUGUGCAGAACCACGUCGAAGGGUACCAUGAGCUAUCGACGAAGACCCAGAUAUAUUUUUCAACGGCUGUUGAAAAAUGGGAUGCUGAUUUCUAUGUAAAAGUCGAUGAUGACAUCCAUGUCAACCCCGGUUAGCUAUCACGCUCAUCUUUGGAUUUGACUUUCUAGAAGAUGGCUUUACCAACUCUUUAACAGGUGUGAUUAGCUCCACACUGGCCCGCCACAGAUCAAAGCCACGGGUUUACAUCGGCUGUAUGAAGUCAGGCCCUGUUCUAGCACAGCAGUAAGACCCACAAAUCUAUAUGCGGUCUUCUACCUGAUUCACAAUUUUGCUGAAGAACACUGGAGAAGAUACCCUUGUUGAGUUUCUGAGAUCGUUCGUCUCUUCUCUCUUCUGUUCUACAGAGGGGUCAAGUACCAUGAGCCUGAGUACUGGAAGUUUGGAGAGGCAGGCAAUAAGUACUUCAGGCACGCCACUGGGCAGCUCUACGCCAUCUCCAAGGACCUGGCCACGUACAUAUCGGUGAACAGGUAAUGGCUGCCGCGGCCGUAUACCGUGAGAACUUGUGCUCUUGCUGUGGCUCCUGGUCAUCUCCCCCUCUUUCGUUUCAGACACAUUCUUCAUAGAUACGCAAAUGAAGAUGUCUCCCUGGGUUCAUGGUUCAUCGGCCUAGACGUGGAGCACAUUGAUGAUCGGAGCCUCUGCUGUGGGACCCCACCAGGUCUGGCUUUCUUAGAACCAAGCUCUCUGUGUUCCAUGGAAAUUUGUUUCUUUCGCUUGAUUAUCCGCACGAUGAUCAACCUUCUGUCCUCAUCAAGGAAGAUACCUCGAAAACGAGGCCCAUUAAUGGGUCAGCGCCAUCAUAGCCUGUCCCCUCUUUAGCCACCAGGUGGGCCUGUUUUCCUUCUUAGCUGCGUACUGGGAACUUCAUUGUACUGCUCUAUCUGCAUCCAAAUGAAGUAAGUUACCUUGAAAAGUAAGGGUGGCCCAGGACCGCCAUAGCCAGGCUCGACCUGAUCAAUUCUAUUUUUUCCUUCCGAACUUAGCUUUCACCCCAAGCUUCUAGGUUUAACCAGCUCAUCUAAAGCUCUUAGUACACACUGAAAGCCGAGCUAUGUGGGCGGCCUGAAUCAUUCCUGUAUACGUCUCUGUUCCAUCUCUGGUUCUUUGCUUGAGCUUCUUCUAUGGUAGACUGCACCCCAAGCUUCUGGGGUUAACCAGCUCAUCUGGGCUCUUAAUAUGAACUGAAAGCAGAGCUAUGUGGGCAGCCUGAAUCAUUCCUGUGUACUGCUCUGUUCCAUCUCUGGUCCUCUGUUUGAGCUUCUUCCAUGGCAGACUGCGAGUGGAAGGCCCAGGCGGGGAACCCUUGUGGCGCGUCCUUCGACUGGAGCUGCAGCGGCGUCUGCAAGUCGAUCGAGCGGAUGGAGGAGGUCCACCAGCGCUGCCAGGAGGACGACGGCGCCGUCUGGCACGCCGUCUUCUGACCCAUCCUCCCAGUUUUGGUCGUUUACUUUCACUGGAAAAUGGCUCCUUCAUGCCCGGGGGAAGAUCGCAAGUUCAAGCCCGCCGAGCCCCAUCAGCUCCAGUGACCGUUGGUAAUGAAAUCCGAUUUUGGCUUCUAUUUUCAACGGUCGACUCUUUGCGGAAUAAAAAAGAUAAGGUUAUUUGCUCUUUGCUCCCCCUAAAUUCACCAAAUUAUCGCCAUUCGCCCCACUUUAUUAUUAUUAUUAUUUAAAAUUAUCAUGCCAUAAAUCAGAUAUAGAAAAAAAAUAUUUUUUCUUCUCUUCCUCCGUCAGCUCCAUCUGCUGGCAGUGGGCCCCAUGCUGGGUCCUUCUGGUUCCGUCUCCUCUCACUAAACGGGAGGUGGAGGGAGAAAGGGCCAUCCAUCGCUGUUUUAUUGGAGUAAAAGAAGAGAAUAUAAUCUCCUAAAAGCUGAGUACGAUGGUUAUAGAUGAAGAGGGGUUUUUUUGCUAAUUGAGCAUGUUCUGGAGGAGUUAAUACCAAAUGCCCGAAAAUAAAUGCCAUUAUACACAAAAGCCGAAUCCCACAUGUAAGCAUGACGGCAAUGGGACAGAACAGACCCGACAGGUAGAUUAAACAAAAGCCCCUCAUUAAAUACAUAUUACAAAAAAUAAUCACAAUACAUGCUUAGUUUAUUCAAAUAACCGAAAUUGGGUGGUAAACGAAUACAGAAGAUCUGACAUGGGUUUGGGGUUGACGGGGAGUUGGCAAAAUAUUCGAGGGUUUUAGUUUAUUUAAAUAUUCGCAAGGGAUAAAACUUCAAAUAGUCUGUGUUGUGGGCGUAACCGGUCGACAACUGGACCGGCCCAAUAAGGGGGUACAAGAGUAAUUAAACGGAAGGUCUGAGACCGCCUUCGGUCUCCUCGUGUCCCUCCCUCCCUCUCUCCCGCUGUUUCUUCUUCCUCGUCGCCGUGCUCCAGCUGAGCGUUGCUCCCCUUCCUCUCCCCCCCGCCCCCGCGCCAUUACCGGCCUGGGCUGGGACUCCAGUCCCAGAUGGUCCCAUGGGGAGGUAGUGCCAUCCCCGGGGAUUGACCGCCUCCUUUGUCUUGCUUUCCAUUCUGUGCGAGUGGCUGCAUGAUGCGUCGAUCUCUGGUUCUGUUGGACACCGCGGGUUAAGCUCUUGGUUGAAGCAGGAGGUCUCAAAACCGCCUUGGGCUUCCUGUAAUCGCCUCUUCUAUAUAUUAUUCUUCUUCGCUCCCCUUUUCCGGGCAUGACUUUGGCUAGGAAUUUAUUCUCUGCCAUUGGUAUGGUGCUUCCGAGGAUGGCCAUGGCUGGCCGCUGCCACCCCUAAGGUUUCCUCAUUUCAUUGGCUUCAUCUCUGUGGGAGAGGCCAUGUUUGAGGGGUUCGUCAGCCAGGUUCUGGCUGGGUAUCUUGGCCGUUAUGUCAAGGGUAUCCAGAAAGAUCAGCUCAAGAUCGGCAUAUGGAACGGUAUGCCAUCCAUAACCCCUCCCUAGUGUGUUAAAAUUCUUCUAUUGAAAAUCCUGCUGCCCGGAAACAUCUCUCAUUCUUCUUCUGCUACCUGUAACCCCUCCCUCGUAUGUUCAAAUUUAUAUAUUGAAGCUCCUGCUGACCGGAAGCGAUAUCUCAUUCGUCUUCUUCUUCCCAUCAUUAUCAUAUCUGUGAUAAAUUAAUUUCCUGAACAAUAGUAUUUAUUAUUCCUGGUUCACUGUGAGUCUUCUAGUCAUCCCUCUCCCCUACUUUGAUGCAGUUACAAGAUAUUAUACCUUUGAAGUUUUCUCAUCUUCAUUACUCAUUCAAUUUUUCGAACCAGAUAAAUCUCAGUAAAAUACCAUGGUGCGGUUGUAUCUGGAGAAUUGCGCUCUAGAUCAGUGUCCGAUACACUUUAAUUUGAUCUAUGCUAUUUUUUUUCCGAUCAGAAAAGUUGUUUUCUUCUGGGGAGAUAAUAUUUUCGUAUUAUUCCUAAGGUCUGUGCAUAGAUUUUGAUAGGUUGUUUUCUUAACCAUACUGAUCCAGCUUCAUGGUCAUCUCAUUGUCAUUACAUUAGGAAAAAUUGCAAAUAUUGUCAGGUGUUAUUGAUUUCCAGAAAUUUUAAGUCUGUAUAAUAGAUGGUUUCCACGCAUUUGCCAAUAUCUACAGACUCUAAUAUGGUCGUCUAAUUUGCGUCAGUCCUUUCCCACUCAAUGCAAAAUUUACUCCUGCAGCGCCUCAUUUUCUACAUAUAGUUUUCCCCAGAAAGUCAUGUGUGUUUGUGUGUGGGGACGGGGGCUGUUGGGUCUGGGGGGAGGGCUCCAAAUGGACAUCGCCCACGUGCUGGAUAUACGCCUUGUUUACACGAAGGAAGCUACAUUCUCUCUUUUUAGGAAAUAACCUCCUGAAACCAAUCGAUUUCCUUCAAAAUGCUGUGGGAUGUGACUAUUGGGAGAUUGAAAGAGUCUCCAGAAUGUAGAGUUAGUCUAAGUCCCAAACAUUGAUUGGAAGAUUAUAGAACAAUGUAUGGAUGAAAAUGAAUUAUGGAUGGAACUUUGCACGGAGUAUUUUGUUGUGUGUUCGCAGAUAUUUAGAUCCGGUAUCCUUGAUUUCCAACGUUGUAGACGAUUUUAUUCUUGAAAAUAAACGUUUUUUUAGUAAUGUCUACUUACCCUGGAUCCGGAUAUUCAAUUUACUGUUGAAAAUGGACAUUCCUGAAAUGUAGAUUCUGUAUCAUUUUUUGAAUAAUGUUCAUCUUAUCGUAAUGUCUAUUGACCCUCGAAUUUUGUGCUACUUUUUCUUGUUGAAGUUUAAUUUUUUCUCCUGUGAAGGGAAUUUUCUCCCAUAUGAUCGUCUGUGUGAUAGAAAGAGAACAUUAUUACGGUUCUCUCCAUUUUUGUUUUUGAUUUUAUCCAGGGCUUGACAGGAUUGUUCCUGGAUGGUUGCCAUUGAAUUUUAAGUUCCUUUUAGAGCAGGGGCUAAUUUUGUUUUUUAUACUUGCAGAAGAAGUUUUAUUGGACAAUGUUGAACUCAUUCUUGAGGCUUUUGACUAUCUCCAGCUGCCUUUUGCAUUAAAGCAAGGUAAUGCUAUCUAAUCGUGACUUUAAAAUUUUAUUGCUGGUUUUCGAUUUAUAAAACAUGAAUACUGAAUACAUACUUGUCCUGUCCAUCUUAAUAGUCUACGUAGGUUUAGUAAUUUGAACUGUUAUUUUUUGUGUGUCUCUUACAGAGUUUUAUGCUCUUCUUUUUAUCUAGGGCGCUAUAUUAUACAGCUGAUAUAUUUCAAGUUCAAAAACAAUGUAUGAUAUAGAGUAUUUGAUAACUUUUUUUCUUGUAGAAUCGAAAAACAUGUGAUGUCUACAAGAGUGUGUAGUUAUGUUGUAAAGUGCCUCUAAUUGGGAGCAACUGUGAUGGCUAAAUUCCCAAAUCUUCACUCCCCUUCUCCCAUGAUGCAAAACAAGAUUGCAGCAUGGAAUGUCCAAGUGGUACAUCUCAAAAGGCUCAAAAUAGUAGAAACUUGGAGGGCUCAAAUAGGCUCGCCUAGGUAGCCCGUUAGACCAAAACCGUGUUUUUUUUAAGUGGAGCUUUAAUAUGCGUUUCCUUUAAUAGAAGGUCAACUAUGUUUUGUAAUCAUUUCUUUUCAUGUAGAAUAAAUAAAUGUUGUUAAUAGAUUCUACUAUUUUGGUAUUCUUUGGCUUCUUCUGGACUAUUUAUAGAAGCCCAUACUAUAUGACAGAUGACGUUUUCCUUUAUAGUAGUUUUUUCUUUCUUUCUUUCUCUUGAGCAUUGAGGUUCUACAUCUUAUUUCUUAUGGAUUCAAGGCUUAUAUAUAUCACUUUUUAUAUAUUUAAGGUUCGAUUUCACCCCUUCGUGUGCUUCCACUACGCCAUCCCACUUUAACUACGUUUUGCCUUUCCCCUCCUUUUCCUCCUAUCUGACCAUGUUUCUUGAGAUGCUGUUGAUGGCAUGUUUUAUACCAUUAUUUUUAUCUUCUGGAUUUAUUUAUUAACAGCAGCCUCUUGCAGCUUCAUCUGAAAGAAUGAUCGUGCUUUAUCUCUAUUCACUUCUUGUUUGGGUGAUCCUAGGUCACUGAUACAUGGAACUUGCUGUAUAUCUUUAUUUGAAUCGUGCCAUCUUACGGAUUGAAACUUGAAUAUUUAGAUCUUUCAAACAAAUAUUCCUCGCAGGUCUUCAUUUUUUCAAGAGUUCUAUGUUUAACGUAUUUAAUUUCAAGAUGUGAAUCUCACAUUAUGAAGUGAUUUACAUAAUCAUCACACACAUAGUUCUUCUGGUACACUCUAUUUUUGGAUUCAAUUAGUGCAUUCGAUAGCAUUUCCAGUCUAUACUUGAUUUUCUGAACAUCUGUACGGAUGAAUCUGCGUACUUUAGUUGAUUAUUGAUGCUGAAACUCCGUUGAUAAUUAUUCAUACCUGAUAUGCAACACAGCCAUUACAAGCAUGUCUGAGAGAUUUAUGAUAACUAUGAAUAGCUUCAUGAAGACAUAGAUUAAGAGUUUAUUGCUUUCUAUCUGGAAAUUUCUUUGUUUCAUGUUUUCAAAACUCAUUGUUUCUUAUUCAUUACAUUUGAUUUCUUUGUCAGGAAAAAUCGGGAAACUAAGCAUCAAAAUCCCUUGGAAAAAACUUGGCUGGGAUCCUAUUGUCAUCGUAUUGGAGGACGUCUUCUUUUGUGCUUGUUCACGUGGUAGCCAUGAUGUAUGCUCAAUCUUGAUAAUUUCACACAAAGUUGGAGCUGUUUUAAUUAGCCGACUGGAGAAUAUUGAUUUUUAAUUCAUUUGAGCAAGUUAAGUGGAUUCUGUCUAAAAUUCUUUCUCUUUCUUAAAUAGUGGAGUUUGGCUUCUGUGGAGAAGAGAGAAUUAGCUGGGAAAAUGGCAAAGCUCAAUGCAGCAGAAUUAGCCAAGUUUUCUAAGCGUGUCUAUGGUGGGUUUGCCAAGAAAACAUUGCUUUUUUUUACCUGGUUUUCAGAAUGACCUGGCCAACUUUUGCUAAUUUCAGAGUGCUUUUGUGUAUCAUAUUCGUAGCAGUUGACUCUGUAUCUGAUUUGAUGUUUUCUGUCACAAGUUUACAUCUUCAAAUUAUGUUGGCGUCAGUAUUUGUAGUCAUUUGAGCAGUUGCUCGCCAAAAGCUUUAUAUUUUUCACAUUUGAGAUUAGUAUAAGUCAUCUUUAUGGUUGUAUUUGUUUCAUAUUGAGGUAUUUUUCGAAGGAUUUUUACAUUUGCCUUCUAAGCUAAGUUUUUCUUCAUCACUACUUAAUUUGUACGGGGAUGCUAUCCAGCUGCAUCCUUCUGAGAGAAUCUCUUUUUUGGUUCUGUACACAGGACUAGUUAAAAUUAGAAUUUUGUUGUCCAAAUUUGCAUUCAUGUAACAAAUUCGAUUUCAAUUUCUUAAUAAAUAGAAUCCGAUAGCGGCUUCAUUAAUGUUUGUAGGAAUACUUGAAGAAUAAUGCCACACAGGUGCUUGGGUGAAAGGGAAGCUAAAGUUGGUUUCCAAGGGCAGAAGUAAACCAUCUGCACUGAAAAAUUGAUACUCAGCGUCAGGUCAAGGAACUAGAAACUAGUUUCCUGCACUGGUCCUGGUCUGCUGUGGUUCUAGUUAUUUAACAGUGUGGGAACUAUCUGAUGUUGUCUGUAUUUUGGCUUUAGGUUUGAAUCAAACUGUUCAGUUCUACUUCCUUCGUGUUCCUGUUGAUUCCAGCUGUUUCUCCGUAUGGCUAAACUUUAGAAAGUUCCAUUUGUUUUAUCUGGGCACAGGUCAUUUUUCAAUGCCUUGAAUCAGCUGCAAUUUAACCUGUUUGCUGCAAAUGGAAAGGUGGAAUCUUUUCAUAUAUCCCGUAAAGGGCCUGCAAUGUACAUUGAUAUUUGAGAUGCCUUUACCUGUUUGAGAGUGAUCUUCUAUAUUACUCUCUUCUUUUCAUAAUUUACCAAUGUGGAGAUCAAGAGCUGUGUUUUCUUUUUCUUGGCCACCUCAAUCUUCUGCAACCUUUUCCUUGGCAUUUCAUUCCACUCGUUCCUUUAAUGAUUGUUGAAGAUUUGAACCUUUGACGAGGUGUUUCUAUUUUUAGAGAUAUAUUUUUUUCCUUUCUUUUUUAAAAAGUUCAAGAUUGUACAAGGUUGUUAUUGGUAUUCGUAAAUUAGAACAGUAUUUUCACUCUUGUUUUAACUUACAUUCGAAAGAAUUUUUUUCCUAUGGUAAUUUACUGCGAACCCUGUUCUUAUUCUUGUUAUUUUCAUUGUAGGCAAUCAAGUUGGCCAGUCUUUCUUUGCUAAGGUAAAUUGUGAUACUCGUUACACUUUCGCAGAAAAAUAUUUGCUGCAUCUAUCCUCUUUGAAUAGUUUGGUAUCACAUAGUGGCAAUAUGAAUUCUUACGUUCUCCAUAAUCAUUCCUAUCUGAAGAUUCUUUCAUCUUUGAUAAAGAAGGGAAAAAAAAGAAGAAAAGAAAAGGUUCUACACGGAAUAAAUGAAGAAUGUCUGCAUGUGAGAAUUUAUUUGUAAAGAAAUUCUUAAUACUAACUUCUGAGAUAAAUAUACGGCCACUAUGUGUACAUAAGCAGGGGUCUUUAAUGAGGCCACUGUGUACAUAAGCAGUGAUUAAAAAAUGAGACAUAUUAUAAUUACUACCUGUCAAGCUUUGUCAAUGUAGUGUUUGAACAAUCUCGAGACAGUGCCUUAAUGAAGAUAUCUAUUGGAAGAUCUUUUGAAUAAUGUUGGGCGGACACAACUUGCAUGUAUCAAGCUUAUCUCUGAUGCUAUGAGGAAGAAUCUAUGUUUAGCAAGCUUAUCUCUGAUGCGGGGUUGUUGGCAAUGCCAAAUAUAAUCUGCUGUUACAGUACAUUUUAGUGUAGCUUAUCCGUGACACUCAGUUCCUGAAGAAGAAUAUUCAACUGUAGUGUGACACUUGACUGUGAGCCAUUCCCUGCAUUCUACUUCAACACUUAGACCCGUGCAGGCCAAACCUGCUUGUUGCUUGUCUAAGGUUCCUUGCUCUACUGUUGAUCUCCUAUCUUCACAAGCACCUUUCUAACAAGUACAUUCUUCAACCUAGAGGUCUUCAUUCUUGGUGUAGCACCUACCUCUUUGUCGAGAACCUUUGAGAUACCAAAUAAUUUAUCCUUAGCGUUCAUGAGAGCAUUUUUAGGAGUAAUCAUGAAUUAAUUAACUGUAAUAGUGGGACAUAUUGAAUCAGGUUUGAUUAGAGUUAUGAUGAAACAUUUUACACUGGGCAUUGAUAUUACUAUAAGAAGCACUGGUGACGACUUAACUUCAUUUCAAAAAUUCUUUGCCAAGUUAACUUUCAGAGGAGGAUCUUGUCUCUUACCAUUUCUAAGCCAUGGACAUAAAAUGAUGACUUUCCCAUUUGCUACUUUUCAAACAAGCCGUGAUUGUUAUUACUUUGCUAGUGGUGAAAAUGAACCAUAGGUAUUAUGAACAAUUUUAAACAGGCCUUGGGUGAAUUGCUUCAAGUCUGUACAAUAUUUUCUUUUGCUUACACUCUUCAUUGUUUGUUAUAUAACUCGGAAGACACUGCAGAUACGAUUCCCACGGUUAAUAUUUGUUCUGUGAAAGGAAACAUUUUUUGACAUAAAGUUAGUUUAGAAUCUAGGAGUACAAGUAUAAAUUCAAUGAUGCUUCUUAUUUACAUCAGGUUCUGCUGGAGCACUAUUGUUUCUUGAUUGUCUAUUUCAUGAGUUAUGAGUGAAUGUAUUUCUUGUAAUCGAUGGUAAACGCUUUGUUAGAUCCAAAAUCAUAUUCCUUUUUUUUAUCCCCUCAUCCAUUGCACGAGAGAAGUGGGGAUUUAAGAUGAAUAGAAGAGAUGUCAUAAAGAACGAUAGAUGGACGAAAUGUGAGUGUAAAACGUACAUUUGCAUGUACGAUAUAUGUUGCGUUCUAUGGUUUUCUUUCUGAUGGCGAAUGAUAAAAUAAGUUAAGGUUCUAUUUAAGAGGAUUCAUGUGGAAUUGAAGUGUCUACAUCUUCUAGAGAGAUAUCGGCUGAGUAAUUACUGUCUUACUCAAUCAGAGUAAGUGAGCCACUCCAUUUCAACUAUGGUAGCAUUAGCAUUAUAAUUUGUAUCAGACAAUUCCGUGAGAGUCAGCAAUAUAUCAAGAUCGGAAUAAACAAGAAUGAAAACAAUCUCCUGAUGAGAAUGAAUAUAAGACAAAGACUUUGGGAAUAUCCCUUGAGACUUAAUGCUUCCUUGUGUUUGUAUUUUGCCUCGUAUUUUUUUCUGUUUGGAAAAUUAUAAUGUUUGGAGAAUUUUUUGUUGAUAAUUAUAUGCAUUGAACUAAGGAUCAACAGUUUUUUUUUGCUAUUUAAUUGUGGAGGAGAAGUUCCUAAUUCUCAGUUUUUCUCCUUUUGCAGAUCCUUGACAACAUCCAAGUAUCCAUAAAGAAUGUUCAUAUUGUGUAUAUUGACGCACAUGCUGAUCCGGUAUAAAAUUCAUUCACAAUCUUCCUUUUUUGAUUGGUUGAUGUUCAUUGAAAUGAAUAGUUACCCUAUUAUUUUAGUUAAAUAUUAUUUUUUCUUUUUCCUCCUGUUGAAUGCAGUUUCGUUUAUACUGAAUAUUGUACCUCUGUGUGGUUAAUUUUCACGUUAAAAAUUAUUCUUAUUUUGAGAUUUAUUUUAUUCUUUUCAAUGAAAUGUAGUUCCUGAAUCUAUGAGUUGAAAAAUCCAUGACAUGUGACUUAGUUGUUUUCAUAUAUGGGUUAUGAUUGACCAAUGGCCGGUAGGAUGGAUGUUACGAAUGAAAACUUUUCCUUCUUUGUUUACUUAUUUUUGAAAAAAAAAUCGUCGGUGCACGCAUAACAACACUGCAGGCAUGGAUAUGUGUUUGUUAGUCAAAUGGUACAGUAAGAGUCACCCUUCUCUGUUCAUAGAAACGUAGGGAGUCUCAAAUGAUUUCAUGUUUUUUAUUUUUAUUUUGCAGAAAAUGAAUAGAAAUGCGUAAUGAUCAUCCAUCGCUAUCAUGAGCUCAUUCUAAAACACAGUUGGUGCCGUCCAUGGCAUCCUUUAUUUUUUCUUGUCAGAGUUUUCAACAUUAUUUUUCCAAUUUUUUUCCAUACAAUUAUGCUCAUUAAGACUCAUUCCAAUUUUUUUUCCAAGUAUGAAUUAUUAACUGAAAUAGUAUGAUAUUGAGGUUAAAGCGUAGAUGCAAGGGUAGCUUGAUUAUUGGGAUUGUAGACUUUUUUCAGAAAAUUCAUACCCUUGACCUUCCGAUAGUGUUAAAAAAAAGAUGUGGCCAAUUUUUUUGGCAUUUGAUGGUGACAACAGAGUCUUGGUAUAAAAAGAAGACCGCAAUAAUUUGCGGAGUACAUGUUUUCUUUGAAAGUGAUUCAUACAAGAUGAAUCUUCGAACACCAUACUGGGUGAUAGAGGGAAGGCAUUUGGUAGACAUUGGGCAAGGUCGAAGUAUCUGGGUGCUAAGUAGUAAUGAAUAAAUUAACAUACCACUUUAGAUGUACAGUGUGUGGCAACAUAGGUUACUAUCGUGAACAGUGGCGCAAACCCUAAGAGAAUAUGCAGAGGGAAAAACUCUUCUCUUUUUCACAUCAUAGAUGGCUGUUAAUACAAGUACCAGGGGAACAAAACAAGGAAACUACCUAACUAGGAAACAGACAAAAUUGGGAAACGGUCCAACUAAGAACAUAACUCCUAAUUAUAUGCCCUUUUCUACUGUUAGAUCACUGAGUUCAAAUGUUGUAAUCAGAAAAAACCAGCCUUGUCUAUCAACGAACAAAAUAGGAACAAAACACUGCAUUUCUCAAAAAAUAAUGCCAUGAGAUCUCUACGAGUGUCUUAAAUUGGUAUGCCACGUGAAAAAAAUAGUACAUGAGAUCUUUUAUGGAAUUGCUAAACAGAUUGUAAAAUAUUGCUACAAAUUGUUCAAUAGUGUUUCAUAGAUAGAGAUAUUCUAUUUUUCACAUUUUUUUGGGUGAAUAGCCCAUAUCUGUUGUUGGAUCAAGUCACUAUGAGAUUUAUAAUGUAGAUAUUUACGUAUCAGAAUUUUCCUAAGAAAUUUUGAUGAAUCUUAACUUUUCUUUGAUGCUAGAUCUUACUGUCUGAGCAAAACAGUAACUAUGGUGUCUCUGUUGAAAUGUGUGACAUGAAAUGUUUCUUGCAAUGUAACCUUUUCUAUAUUCCACCAUUUAUCUUUUCUUUAGGUAUGCUGAAAUGGAUUAAAUGUACCGAUUUUUUAUUUGUGGUAAACUGGUUUCCAGUCUGGAUCAGUGGUUGUACUUUUCCUAUUUGAUUGACACUAUGUUGACCUUAUGGAAACUACAAUGACAUUAUGAUUGUAUUUAAACAACGAAUAUUUGAUUGCUUUUUCUUGUGCAAUACUUGUAGUUUAGGCAUUUUCUUUUGAAGUAUUGUGCUUUGUGGAAUGAUGUAUUUAAUUUUAACGAGUUAGUUUCCUUAUUGUUUUUCCAGGAGAUGUUCAUUUUUGGUUUAAGAUUUUCAAGUUUGACGAUAAUGACUGACACACGAAAACAGAAUUCCAUUGGGUGAGUGAAUAACAGUUCAUCUAUCUCGGUUGAAAUUUAACUUAUUUGAUAUUUGUUUUUGCAAAUGCUUGAUUGGGUCUUGUAGUCAGUUUAUCAUUAUGACUCGUUUUUUCGGUCCUGAGGUAAUGAUUUUUUAAUCUGUAUCCUUAUGUCCUUAAAAAAUUGUUGUGAUUAUCUUCAUGAAUUUAUUAUUGAGAUUUAAACAUUCCACUUUCUCUCAGAUCGUCAUAUGGGAAAUUUAAAGGUGGCCAAGUAAAGAAGAUUCUUAAGAUAUCAACUUGUGGCAUCUAUUGCAACUUGUUUGAGAAUAACAUUAGCCUUGAGGACGAUCCCAUCUUCACAUUGUGCUACGAUUCAAAGUUUGAGCCUAAGAGAUAUGAUUACCUUAUAAAUCCAUUUGACUUGACAGUCUCUUUACUGGUAUGUUGUCUUGGCGUGACUAUUUCAUUUCGUUUCUUCUAUAAUGCUUCAUUAUCUUUUUGUAUUCUUGUUGUAAUACUGACAACUGACAACCUGCUAAUUAUAAGAUGUUUUAGAAAGUUAGCUAAGUCAAUUUAAGAAGAAGAAGUAAUGUCCGACACAAUUGGUUAUAGUUGCAUGUAUAUUUUCCCCAAGUUAGGGUAAUUUUUUUAGGAAUGUAGUUCUUAUUUCUCCUUUCUGGCGUUUGUCUGUUGAGAUUUUCCUGUCGGGUUAGGAAAAUCUCAAAAGAGGUUUUCUUUCCCUGGGCUUUUACCUUGUAGAUUAGGUAAUCAGAGUGACUUCUUUCCGUUGUGGCUCAAAGACAUAAUGCGUAUAUGAGUGAUGGCAUGAAGGUUUUCUAAUUGUGUCAGACAAGGAUCUUUUCAAAAAAUAGGAUGCAAAACCAGCAACAAUAAACUAUCCAUGCUAUUGAUGAGGUUUGUGGAAGGCCAGUUAACGUUAAAGUCAAAUACACACAACAACCUUAACUAUAUAUCCCGACUCUAGUGAGCUCCAGCGACGAAGAUGACACUAUGGGGGAAGAAAAAUAUGAUUUUUCUGUUGGAAUGGGAUUUAAUGGUGUUCAAUCAGAGCAAAGCAUAGUUCAGUACGAUAAUGUCUUCAAGUUGAUGGUUUAACUUCCUACAUUCAAUGGCCGCCUCCAGAUUGAAGAUUUCAUGAAUUUGUUGCUUGAGGUGUUCUGACAAUGGAGAUUCUCUAGGAGAGAAAGUAAAGUUGGUGGCUUACAAGCUAAAAGGAGGUUCUCAUAGAUUUUGGUGAAGAGUCUUAUGUUAGGUAUAAAUAUUUGGUGGCAGAACAUAAAGUGUGGUGGGAAUAAAAAUUGCACGCACCACAACGGGACACUGGAUUUUGGAAAUGGUUUGGUUAAUCCCAAACAUAAUCCUCUUCUCUAUUCUCCACGACUAUUUUCUCUUGGUACCUUUUAGGCAUUGGACCAAGGUUGUUUUCUCAAGGUAUCCCCUAAACCCUUCAAGCAUUAAUCAUUAGCAGUGUUUUGUAAAAUAUAAGGAAAUAGGGGGCCUACAAAUCUUUCAAGUAUUGGUGAGGACAUUGUGGUAGCCUUGGAGUAGUUGACUUCGAUGGAAACUUCUUGGAGCGUAUGAACGUGAAAAAGAUGACUUUAGAGUUUUGAAUGUAGAUUAUGGAAUCUUGUCAAAAUUCUCCAGCUCUUGUUCUUUAUGGCCUUAUAUCUCUAAGUAGUCAUUACCAAGAUUUAUUCCUCAAAUGGGUAAUUUUCUUUUUCACGUUCGUUUGUUAUUUUCAGACAUCUUACUGUUUGAAAACCAAAUUGUCAAUACUUUAGUUAUAAUUUUUCAACAGUCCUUGGAGCGCACAAACUUGAAAAUGAUAUCUUCUAGAUCUUUGAAUUUAGAUUAUAUUUCUUGUUCUUUUAUAACCCUUAAUCUCAAACCAGUCAUUACCAAGAUUUCUUCCUCAAAUGGCGUUUUCUUUUUUUAUGAUUGUUAUUUUGAGACAUUUUAGUGUUUAAAAAGCAAAUUACCGAUGCUUUUUCGUGUCUAUUUUUCAUUCUUCGUAGGUGAUGACUAUUUUGAGCUUUAGGUUUAACAUCUAAGUUGUUGGAAUCAAACCCCGUGUUUCAUGACCUUUGCUUUGGUUUUAAAUCUGUUAACAGUGAGUUCAUGAGUCAACAGCUGAGUUUUGAUCCAAGUUUUUAUCCUUUAUAAAAUUUGCAUAUAUUGUCGUGUAACGUUGGAAUAUCAAUGCUAAUCCUCUAGCCUUCAUUUCUUGGCCAGUUUUGGGUUGGAAAGCUUUUAUUUCUUUGCUUAAAUCUUUAGCAAAAAAUUAACACAAAUCAAUAUCAACAUUGAGGCGUUGCAGUCAUUGAAAUUAGUCUAUUUGGUUCAACGGUUAGGAAUGACUUUGGCUUAUGUGUGCUAGAAGGAGUAAUGUAUUAAUUUUAUAAUAGUAAAAAAUGAAGCAAUGUGUGAGUUCAACUACUUUCAAGAGUUUACGAAUGGGUUCUUACGUUAACGAACAACGUCAAGGUUUUAGGCCAGGUAGGUUCAUGGUAUAUUUAAGAAUAUGCUGCCGAGUUUUUCAAACUCUUGAUUGAGGCUCUGAAAGGGCGCCACCAAUAUUAUUCAAUCAUACACAGUUGUUGUUCAAGAGAAAAUGGUAGUUGAAGAUGUUUGGUAUUUGAAUGAAGCUAUGCACCUGGCUUCUAAACAAGCAUCCAAGCAACACAGUCCAACAAAACUCCUAUACUCAUCUAGAAAGAUGUUAAAUAGGUUAAAUAAACAAAGGUAAAAUACAUUGAAUAUCUUAAUUUACCCUGUUCACUAGAAUCAGAUCAGUAUUGUUCCUAAUCUCCGUUCUUUUUUGGGAAUUAAUGACUACGCUAAAUGCCAUGCAAAUCUUGUAAUUUUGAUAGAAAUCUUCGCAUAUCCGCCCCCCCCAACCCCACAGUAUAUCAGUGGAGACACUGCCACACCAUUCAAGCUCAGUGAGAAAAUUCUACUCCCUCUUCUAUAAGACCGUGUAGUGCUAGACUGUGCAAUCUAAAGUGCGAUUGAAGAUAUAAUCAAAAAAAGGUUUCGCACAAGUAGAUAUUAGUCUUUGUUCUGUCCAUACUUAACUACCAUCCGAAAAGGAUGGUAAUUAGAAGAUAUAUGUGGACCGUUGAGUUGUAAACAAGCUCAUGAUAAAAUGAAGAACCAAUGACAAGGUUGGAUGACAUGUUGUAUAUUUUUUAAGGCCCAAGAUCUGUUGAUUAAAGUAGAGAGGAUUGCUUCCUUUGAAGCUUAACGGAGAACGUCAGGUUUCUACUGCCAGUGACUUACUAAAUCGAAGAAAAGUCUCUACUUAUGUAUUUGAGCUCUAUAAAAUGAUGAAAGCUUUUAAGCACUGUAAGCGUUACGAAGUCAGAGUUUUCUCUGUACAAUGACCAAGUAUUUUAUUUUCUUAAUAAUCCGAACAUUAUAAACUUGUACUUCAUGCCUUUUUCAGGAAUUCCAAUUAUGUCAAAACAUAAAUCUGGGAUUCAAAACUAGGUAGUUAACACGUUAAGCCGGAAUGGCAUUGCUAGAAACUUUGAAACCGUAGGUGGUACAUUUUUGAAUGCCCUAGAGAUCUUCAUGGUUUUUAUUUUGAUGUACAAGUAAUUUCGGAUAAAUCUAAAAAUUGACAUCACAUUAUUUUUGUUCUUCAACAUGGCAUUCUUAGGCAAUUCACGUUGUCCCAAGAUGUUCUUUAGCAGAAAAAAUCAUGAGUGAGUUGGAUGGUGGAGGCAGAUAAAACCAUUCGUUGGUCCACUUAAAGUGAGAUGUGAGCAGGUUUGUGGAAAGAUGGUAGAUAUGCGUAACCACCCAAAAUGCAGAAUUGCAUAUGCCACUUCCGGUUCCUGUUUUACAUGAGAAAUUUUUUUUUAUCUCUCCUUUUGAGUUAAAAUUGCAUACGUUUCAAAGGCACAAUAGUCCAGCGUUAUUUUAUAGUUGACUUCAUUUUGUAGAUACAUUUUAUCAGCUGUAGGAAGAUGGCCUAUGUUACUUACGUGGCUAAUGUAUUCUUCUCAGAAGUGGUUUGGCUGCCCAAAAUUUGUAUACGCAUCACCUCAAACUGUGACACUAUGUUCCAUACUUCUGGAUGAUUUUACUUAAUAGUAUCCUCUCCAUUUGAUUUACCAUUUAAUCCAAAUUUGUUUCUCUUCAUGUUGGGAACGAUCAUAAAGGAAUUUCUAUUUUUAAUUUUCUACACUUUUUCCCUAUUCACUGUGGCAUUAUGUUUAUGCAUCCAAAAAUUCGUUACACAACCUAGUUUUUUUGUAAUCAUGUGUUUUACUUGAUGCCUGUUUAAAUAUUGUAACAUGGAGGGUUUCUGCUUUUUUGUAACUCACACAAGCUCCUUUUUUUUCAUAUAGGUAAACAAAUCUGGGAUGUUUGAUCCAAGUCCUGAAUACUCUGUUAUGGCCGAGCUAACUUCUGUGGUUUGUACUUCUGUGACGAAUAUGCCAAAAUUGCAGUUAAAAAAUGGUAUUCUUUUUUCCUGGGCAAUGGCUGUCUGAAUGGUCAUAUUGUGCAUUCUAUUUUUUGUUAGGUCGUGUUAUUGAAUGAGGUUCAGUUGCUGCAAAUUUUAAGUCUCUGGGAUCACUUUUCCGUCUGCUCCUUGAGAGAGAGGUAAUUUUUUUCGAUGUGUCUAGUUCCAUGCUUACACUAUGAUGGCUCCUUAUUUGCUUUGUCAUUAUCUUCUAAGUGCCUAGUUUACGUAGAUGAUGUUAUCCAACAAGCUUUCACUCGUUUUCUAUAGCCCGAACUCCUAUCUAAUUCACGAUUCUUUUCAAUCGAUCAUGAGGAUGGAUGUGUACUCAACUUUAUUUAACAAUUGGGAAAAUAAUUGACGUACAUUGUAGGGCACAGCCCAUUCAUGGAAACAGUGAUGAUCGAUCAAAAACUUCCUGAUCAACUAAUUACAGGUUAUAACUUUGGCAUGGAGAACUGCACAACUGGCCCCUCAUCAUUAAUCGCUGUACCUGCUCUUGUACCACGUGCAGCUUCUGGAUGCUGCUCAUGACAUGUGACAUAUUAUUUGUUUUAACUGAUUGAAGUUCCUAUGGUAGUUUGUGCCUGCAUAAUGAUAAAGAAGAAGAAAGGAAAAGGGUGCGGAGGUAAUAACAUGCACAUAAUCAAUAAAUAAAGAAGAAGACCUGCAAUUAUGACUGGUGGGGCACCUAAAAAAAGAUUGGUUCCAUGAGUGAAAGUAGAAAAAAGGAGAUGAGCAGAAACAUCUUUUCAGUGAUUAAAUUACGUUAAUAUCGCUUCACCGUUUUGAAUAAGGCUAACAUCAAGGUUAGAGUGUCUUCUUUGAUAUAGCGUUGUGUUGUUUCCAAGAAUUGUGACUCGUGACAUUUUAGUUUUUUAUCUUUCACCCGUAAAUGAUUAAGAGUUUAGUUAUAUAGCUGAACUACGAAAAUCAUCAGAGCAGUUUGACUUCGGAAGGGUGUAAUAUGAAUGUGAAGAUGGGGUGGAAGUCACUGAAAAAAAAUGUGGUAAAAGUGAUACUGUAAGCCAUUCGAAAUAUAUGGAAAAGUAAUUUUUUGGUUUGGAGGAUUAUCCAUGACUGAUUUGCUCCUAUUUGUUAAUUUUAGAAACGUGCAUGAUUGUGAAAGUAUUGAAAAUACUAUUGUUUCUUGUUCACCUCUGGUUAAAUGGAGUUGAGUUCCAGUUGAAGAUUUAGAAAGUAUAGUCUUAAGGGAUUAUUAUCACGUAUUUUUGGCUGGAAUUCAUGUCACAAUCUUUAGAAGUUUUGCUUUGUUAUGUUUUCUCUUAAUUGGGUGCUGCAGAUAUGGACGUUAUCGACCAGAUCACACCUCGUUAUUGUGGAAGGUUGAUGGCUGGCAAAUAUUAUGGUGGCAUUAUGCACAACAAUCUGUUUUAGCAGAUGUCAGACGGAGGUUGAAGAAGACUUCUUGGAGCAGUCUUGGAAGGAGAAUGUAUGCCAGAGUUCUCACUUUGUAUUGUUUUGGAGAGUAGUUAGUUUUACGACAUGGUUGUAAUUUUUGGACAGUAGAAAGCACAAUUUCCCUUCUCAUGAUUCUUGGUCUUGUAUGUGUAUUCUUUGCUUUCUAUGAUGAGCAGUUGUAAUUGAAUUCUUUCGCCAGGAAUUUAUCAUUUUCCAAUGUCUAAUAUUUUCCUUUUUAUUCAUUUAUUCAUAAAUUUUCGUCAUCUCCCUUGGCUAUUUAUUUACUCCUUAUCUCAGUCCAAGAAUUAAUUAUGAUUGCGGCCAGUCAAUCUGGAUUACAAUGAGAGGCCUUCAGUCUGAUCCUCGUGAAACCCAAUCCCUUCAUCACCAUAUAGAAGUUAGAUUGAAUGAAGCCUUCAGUCUGUUCCUUUGAAAUCAAAUUCCUUUAUUACAAAAUUAAACAAAAAUUUUAGCUCAUCCAACUUUUAUAUGAUGAUGAUCGACCAAUUGGGUCUCAGUUAUAAACCCAAAUUUUAGAAAUUUUUGAAGGGCAGACUCCUGGAAAGUACGUUUGUGCUGAUGCUCAUGAGACAACUAUACAUUUUUCUCUUGCACAUUCAAGUCCAUCAAUUUGUGUUAUGACGCAUUGACCAUUCUGGUUUCAGGAUGUUUGAGAGACAAGGUAUUAAUUGUGAGUUUAGGUAGUAUGAUAUUGCUUUCCUUCUAUGAAAAAAUGGGAGUUUAUGGUGGAAAGCCAGCAUUUUCUCAAUUUUCUUCUAUUGGUGGUGUUCUAUAUUACCUUCCAAUUUAAAACGUUAAAAUGUUUGAAAGUCUGGAGUAUGCUGUCUUUGGUUUGGAUUCUAGGGUGUGUUAAUUCAAUGGUCUCUCUUUUUGUUUUGAUUACACAUCUGAUACUAGGGGAGCAAGCAGUGUACAUUGUGAUUAUGCAUCUAGUAUAUGUGUAGGUGAUGGAUUGUUUUAGAAUAAAUUGUUGCAUUCUCACAAACUAUGGGCCACUUUUAUUGAGAUUUUUUCUGUCUAUUUAAUAUUAUCAUUGGAAGCUUAUCGUGUUCAUUAUUUUAUCAGGAGAUAUUUCAUUGGUUUGGUUUUUAAGUUGCUGAUUAGUGCUAGAUCAGGAUCUAUCUAUAGAUCAUGGCACUAUUUGUGACGUCCAAUAUUGACAAAGCCGAACCUGUUGACAGUCAGACAUGCCUUUCUAGUGACUAAAUUUUUUUAUUUCUAAAGCAGUUUUAUGUACUUCUCGUAUGUUGGCUGAAGAUGAUGUAAAUGAGCAUUAUAAAGGAUAAUGCCUUUCCGAUUUCAUAGAAAUGUUUGAAAAUUAUACUUCUUAAAAAUGUUGAUGGACAUAGUCUAAAAAAUGAUGGACAUUAAACUUUUGCUAGCAGUAACUACAGUGUGCUCAACAUCUUCUGUACUAGAGGCUUAAAUUAAUUUUUUUUUCGUGGAUGGCCUAAUUGAAAAUGAUGACAAAGGCAACAUCUUUAAGGCCUCUUCUUCUUUAUUAAAUUCAACUUUACUCACCAUAGUUACAUUAAUUCUGUCUGCCUAUCUGUGCAUGCCAUGACUAUUAAUUUUCUGUCAUUAUAUGCCACGACGUAACAAAAAUGAACUGCUGUUCCCAGUGCUCUUUACCAUUGCAGAAGGGAAUAAAUUCAAUGGUCAACAUUAUUUCAGUAGUAUGUUUAUGCCUUCUUAUGUGGUUCUAAAUCUGAACAGUCUCAAACGGCAUCACAUUUUGAUCGUCAUCUAGUACUUUAUUUGAAAAUAGCUCACACUUAUCAUUGCUUCCUUGAUUGCUGAGUUUUAGCUCCUAGCAGGAGUUAAUUAGCGUCAUUCUGGCUUCGCCUUCUUUUUUCAUUUCCCUAGCCUCCAUUCUAGCAAUCAACAACGGAGAGGUUGCGACUCUCUGCUCACUAUUCUUUGUGUUGGAGGUUUUGAAUGAUUAUAAUCAUAUUCAUUGCUUCUAUAAUUGCUUUAUGAACGUCUUGUUGUCGAAUGAUCGACACGUUUCGUAAAGACAGAUGAAAUCUUAUCUUGAAUUAACUGGUGCGAUCCCAACAUCUGGUGGCCACAGGUCCUUUGAGCCUAGUCUGUAGUCUUUAAAAAGGAAAGUAACAUGUUCAAUGUUGGUUAUGCUGCUGUCUCUACUUAGAAUGCUCUUCUAUCUUUGCCAUUUUUUGGUUUUUCUUUCCCUGGUUAUUUGGUCCAUCGACUACUGCAGGGCUUGGCUUUGCUCUUUGUCCUUUUUGCCUAGCGAUGUGCGAUGUCAAUUGAAUUUCAAGUAUUCCAGGCUAGACAUCUAGAAGUCUGAAUUUAAUUUUUUGCUCUAAUGCAGAAGUCAGCGUCGGAAAUAUGUGAAUCUUUACAGAAGAAAACUGGAGCUUAUACAACAGAAUCAGGUUAAAGACGAUUCUGUAUACAGAUUUCCUUUUUAUUUUGUCUUUAUACGUUUCUUUUAACCAUUGAACGUGUCUGUUUACAUAUUUAAACUUCUCCAUUUCCUCACUUUCCAUAAACAAUAAAUUUUUUUGGGAUUUUACUUCUGUAUGCCCCUUCCAUUGAUUUGACUAAUCUAUCGUAUGAAUCUAUUGAUGACAAUAUCGAGGACCAUCCUGAAAUUCAAUUCCUGGUUGUAAAUAGAGCACUGAUUUUGGUCAUCUUUUGCCAGAGACGAGUCGUUAUAUUACCUUCUAGAUGGUGCUUCUGUUGAAUAUUACAGACUUUAUUCUGACUAAAACUUGCAAUGGGUAAAGUGAUUUUAAAUGUAUCUGCAUUACAACCAUCAUAAAUAAUGUAUCCAUGAGAUGUGAAUUAUGUAUGUCUGAUUGCGAAAGACAUUCGCAUGCUGAUGGGAAGAAGAGUUGAAGGAUCAUCUUUGCCCCCAUGUUUGUCCAGUUAGACCCUCCUGAUAGUGAGUAGUCAGAAUUAUUUGUCAACAGUGACUCUUUAUUUACUUUUUCUAUUCUUCAUUGCUUACAGUGUUUGUAAGUAUAAAGGAGGCCUCUUCAUCGUUAUCAAUCCUUCGAAGACAGUGAGUAAAAACAAAGGUUAAAGAAAAAUUCAAGUUUUCUCCAAGAUUACUGACCAAAAGAAUGUUAAUGGGUAGUAUGGGAUCAUGAAGGUCAUCAGAGAAAGUAAGUGAUAAUACAGUUGAAUGACUCCUUUGCUACUAAUAAUGACCUUGGUGCCACGAGCAGUGGUAGUUUUAUCUAACUUUAAACUAAAAAAAUCUUUGGAAAACAAGUUAGGGUUGCUGUCAUAUGUAUAAAGUUUCCAUAUUUGAUAACUCAUGAAUCAAGAGCACGAUGAGUAGAACUUUUUCAGUUUCUGUUUGAGGAGAAUACUGAAUUGUAAAAGAAUUUAAGGAAACAAUUCCGGAUUCUGAAAUUUCGUCAAAACUAGUGAUUGCUUCGUAAGAAGAGCUAGCAGAAAUAGGUUCGAGGCUAUGAGCUAUGACAACGCUCCCUUUAGCUACUUCUCCCUAUUUUACAAAUGGACUUUCCUGGUUGGGACACGUUGUGACUUUCCGGUCAGUAUGUAGCAGACCUGAUGGCCUUUUUUUAUUUUCCUUGAUUGUUUCCUCCCCCGAAGUGCUGCUAAUGUGUGUUGAAUAUUCUCUUUUAGCAAUGGAUCCACUAUUUAGUCUUUCAUUCAUGACAUUCAUCCUUUCUUCCUCACUCAACACCCUGAAAUACACUUGCUUUAGAGUUGUUAUGGGAUCAAAAUUGAAAAUCUGACUCCUUAUAGGACUACUAAAAUCCUGUCAAUCAAGAAAAUUUUGUCCUUUAGGAUUUAUUUUUUUGGUCUUCGUACCUACUUAUUAUCAAGGACAUGAUAUUGUGUAUGAUGAACAUGAUAGAUACAUGUGCUCAACUUGAGGGGAAGUGGUCAGAGGAUGAUGGCAUUUGUUUUCUUUUUUCCCUACCGCCUUUAUAAUAGAGCCGUUUUGCCUUAUCAUUAGAUUGCAAGGUGUCAACUGGCCUAUCUUUUUUGGCGACCUCCUCUCCCACCAUCCCAUCUUCGCCUUAGGUAGGAAAUAACAUUUCAUUUGUUUGCGGUAUGCUGCUGCCAUUGAAUUUCCAUGACUAGUAUCUACAAACUGCUCUUUCCCUCCUAGGUACUCGCAAGUGGGUCUGUAACAUCAAUAAUAGGUUAUAUAAUUUAUCCUGUCUGUCACCUACUGUUUCAGACCAGUGCCGUGGAAUUGUGGGCUAAAAGGGGCUUUUUUGCAACUUUAUUUCCAUGACUUCUGGGGGUUAUAACUCAUUCUGGUUUUCAUGGAUAUUUUAGUGUCAGACUUUUGUGCAUGAUAAGGCAAACAGGCUUCUUUCAGGCAGUGAAAUCUGGUUAUACUGAAAAAGGUACUGCCAAAUAAUAUUGACAAGCAUCAUGAUUAAAUUUCUCAAUAUUUAUCGCUGGUAUAUGACCUUUAGAUGGCUUGACGCAGACUAGCCAGUCUUUGAUUGACUUUAAUACGAUGAAUAAUUUCAUAAGAGUUUAUUGAUUGUUGUCUGAAUCCUCUAGUGGUCUUUCUCUUUGUAGUCCAUGAGAAGGCUGAUAAUAGCUGGAAAAUUUUCAUUUUUCUUCCGAUGGACACUGCAUCUUCUAUGAUAUGUUGGGAGAGGCUUUGAUCACCAUUGUUCACCAUUGUUUAAUCAAAAGUAAUGUUGAGUCUGUGACACUGGUUCAGGAAAGUUUUGUUGGAAGAAAAGAUUAGAUCAGUAUUUUCCGAUCUGCUUUAGAUUUUCACUAAAGAUAUUCUGCAACAGAUUUAGCCAAGAUUUUUCCAUUUUGAUCACGAGUAUACAUUUUAGUCACCAUCAGUUGACUUAUUACGUUUUUUUUAUUUUUGACGAUAUCUCCAUGAAGGGACUUUCUAUGUUCUCAAGAUUUUUUAAAAGGCUGUGCAUUAAAAGAUGACUUUUGGCUUCAUGAUUAAAGAUGAAUUCCUGGUUAUGUCAUUCAGCAACCUGUGCAUUAUGGAGGAAAUUUUCGACUUAAAUAUUUGCUGAAUUCCUUAAUACCUGAUCACUCUUUCCAAUUCCUCAAACCUUAGAUCUUUAUUCCUGCCUGAUUAUUGUUUCACAUAUGCCAUUGCGCCAAAUUUAUACAACAGUCUUCAUUGAAACAUCUGUAAGACGGACAUAUAUUUGGUGUUGUGAGUUCCAUGCUGUAUAGCCCAUUGUCUUUUACAAGUAUUGAUGUUUCUUCAAUCAUGAAAUUAGCAUGUCAGUGAAGAAAUUUUGGAGGAGCUGGAGCAGAUGGAUAGAGAAUGUGAAAUUGAUGAGAUCUUGAGCUACAGGUCCACAGCGGAGAACCAAUUGCAGGUUAUCACCUUUAGUUGCAUAUGCCUGUCUGCUUUGCCAUGGCCACAUAUACGGCUAUUCAUAUCUUUCAUUUUGCAUGGUGAAUAUUAUUUAUUUUGUGUUUUAUUUUGAUUCAUCACAUUCGUCUUCUUCUUUCCUAAAUCUGGAAACGUCCACUUUGUGUUGAUAUCAUAAAAUAACUCUAUCCUGAUUCUGUCUGCCUUUCGUUACUUGGAUGAUCUGGAUAUCUUGUUCAUGAUUUGUGAUCCUCAAUAUGUAAUAGAUGGCUGAUGCUGUAGAUAAAAAGUGUUUUAACAGGAACCUAGCAUGUUUAGAAGAUUAUUUUAAAAAACUACAUGUUGCCAUAGUCUGACUCGUUUUACAUUUUUUGCGCUCCUAGUGGAGUACAGAGUCAACCAACAUUACCUAGACAGCUAAUCUUACACUCUUUCCAAUUUUGUGAAUAUUUCAUUCAACAAAGGUUGGUAUUUGCUUCAAGUUUCUUGGUAACUCUCUGAAUAAUAUCAUGAUUGAAUGGGUAAUUUGACUGUAAAUUUUUCGGUAACUAUUGCAUUGUCAAAUUCUAAUGAUGCAUUUAGGCAUAGUUUUCUAGGAUUUUUAUUUUUUAUUAUUUAAUGCUUUAUUGAACAAUAAUCACCUAGAUUCUAUAUCUUUUUGACAUUUAUUCACCUAGAAUCUUUAAAUAUUUGGUAUUAACUUUGAUUGCCUUCAUACCAGAUGUAUGCAUUAAUGGAUCUUGUGACAAUUGAACCCUCGGUUUCCUACCAUUUAUUAAAAAUGUUUUUAUCUUUUAUGUUGUUCUUGCAUUGUAUUUCAUGUCAGAUAAGUUAACUGCGAUUUUCUUCCCUCUAUAGUUCCUGGACCUUUCUCAGCUGCUAGUAAGAUUUAUCUUAGCUUUUUUUCCUCUAUUAGUUAGGAGCUAGCAUUAGGCUGGCACACAAAAAAUACUUGAAACCGUAGUAUUUGUCUCUAAAAUGUUAACCAGGCAUGAUGGUUAUGGUAACGAUGCUGAUGGGAUGAUUUUCUUAUUGUGCAAUGAUUAUAUUCUUAGAAACUUCCAUUCCAUUUACCCAUUUUAACACCGUUUCUCUGAUAAAUUACCAUAUAUAGUAUGGUAGUCUUCCCUAAUAUCGAUGAUGGGUCUGUAAUUAUUCCAUCCAUUUGCAGGAUUUUAUGCUGCAGAAGAAAGAUUCUGGUACAGGUACAAGUGAUGUACAUGAUUCUCAAGAAAAGGGACAAAAUGAUGAGAGGUCAUUCACGAGAUUAAGAGGAUGGUUAAAUUGGCUGUCCCUUGGCAUGCUUGGUGCCGGAGGGACGGCAGACUCAAGCUCAUUUACUGGUGUUGUUUCUGAUGAAAUUAUCAAGGUACUGUCGAUGGCUGAUCAACUGAAUUUACUGCUUCAUUGUGUAUAUUUAUGGAUCGUAUUUUUGUUUAGGAUAUCUAUGAGGCUACAGAUUCCCACCCACUGCCUGUUUACAGUAGUAGUGAAAGCUCUCAAAGAAACAGUAUACUUUCAUCACUAGUCAAGUUUGAUAUCGAUCAUUUCACCAUGACAAUCAGCAGCAGGUACUUCCAUUUCUCCAAAUACGGUUCAUUACUUUGACCAUGUUUGAUAUUCUAUUUUUAUUCUUUAUCUUGGUUCAUUCUUUUAUAUCUUGGUUUCUUAGAGCUUAGAGACUUCCUAACCAAAUCAUGCUUUCUAAUCAUUGGUAAAAGAAACUGGUGUCCGAAACAGGCUUAGUGUAUGUUUGGAGCCAAUAUCACGGAUCUGAAACCCAUCCACUAGGGUCGAUCUGUCCGUUAGAGUACAGUGUAACAAGGAUAUUUACAUUGAGUUGUAAGUUUCCUUCAGUGGGAAUAGCUCUAACGCAAGUUGGGGGUGGUUUGCCAGACAAGACAGUGAAUAUCAUACGUCUGCCUAAAUUUGAUAGAAUGGCAUAUUUCAUGGAUGGUAAGGUGUCCGUCUGUUAUAUUUAUGCCUAUUUGUAUAUUCAAAAGAAAAUACACUACACAACACCCCCAAUACCUAUACCAUCAUAGUGAAAGAACCAUGUUAAGGGUUAUGGAUAAUGAUCAUAUCUCUACUCUCUAUAAGCCUUAACGAAAUAAACUGACAUUGUCCUUGCUACUUAUAGAAGUUUAUCGCUCACUCUCUCCUCACACAUUAAAAACGUCCACCCUGUAGGUACUACGUCGUUAAAUAAGUUGGUUAUUUUAUUUCAAAUUGUACGAAGGGUUAUGGUUAGACACCAUACUCUCUGAUUAACACCCGCCGGAUUGGAGAUGCGUGGCAUGCUGGCCAGAAUUGGCAGCCAGCUGAUCCGAUUGGAUUGUAGUCAUGGUGAGCAUGCUUCAGGGAAUGGGCCACAUCCUGACUGUUUGGAUACCUUUAUACAAAUUCAUGUCCAAUUUAUUGAUUGAUGAUGUAAUGCCUGAAAUCUACCUAAUCUGAAUUUAUUUCACUCAGAUCAACUGAAUUCUAAGAGGAGCACUUAUAUAAGAAUGGGGAAAUUGAAUGUGUGGUCUGCUAAUGGAGGACAGAGAAAGCUGAGGGAAGGAAAGGACACAAAAAAUAAGAAAAAGAAAAACUUCCAUGGAGCCUCACCCAUUGCUGUGAUCACCGCUUUCCAGUUUAUGAAGCUCCACGCAUCUGGAGUGAGUGCAGUCUACUGCAUUCGAGAAAAGGGCUAGACUAUUGGAAGACUCAGAGAUUUUUGUUAAGUCGAGAUUUAUGUAUAAAUUACAUAAGCUUUAUUAUUUUUCCUCUUUUAUCCAAAUUAGCUCUCCCUUUAGAAUGUCUACCUUGUCCAAUCUGGUACAUAUCCACAUUGCAUUGCACUCAACUAAUCUAGCUAUCUGAUCUGAUUCAUAGAGCUGUACAGUUAUUAGGUUUUGGCAGGGAUAGGAAGGUCCUUUAGAUUUUCUUUCCCAUUGUAUUUAGGGAGAGGAAUCUCUCCGGGAAGCAUAAAUAAGAUAUUAUUUUUUAGGGCCUGAUGUGGAGAAUUAUUGGGUACUAAACAUCACAUCUCAUGUUUUAUUGAAAGAGCAAGAGGUUGUCAGGUGAUGACCGGGGAGAUCGAAGUGCCGAGGGAUUGAUCCAGGUUCAGAGACUCCAGCAUAUUUCCUGCAAAUAAUCUGAUUAUGCUAUAUUUUUGUAUACCUUUUAGUACGUUAUUAACUAAAGUAAAAUAGGAGUCAUUUGAGUUCGUAAAAAAAUGUUCGUCUUGCUUUCUGAUAUCAUAGCUGGGUUAAGUCGCUAGCCUGGAACUUGACAUUCCCUUCUAGAGUUAUCGAUUUAUGAUAUGAAUUUCACGAUGAUAUUGUUUUUGAAUUUAAUCACGAUGUUACUUGACACUUAUUGUUUUUUAAGUGGUUUGUGCUCCGUCAUUUUUCCUAUUUGCACGUCUUCGUGAUGAAAGAUAUCCUACAGUUUGCAUUUAUUUUAAAAUUUUGAUUCUAGGUAUAUUUGUUGGAAUUGUAGGAAACAUGUCAAAGACAUAGCACUGGUGUUUUUGGACGGAGUUGGUGUAGAAUGUAAAAUUUCGGAGGAUUCUAUUGACAUCACCCUCUUGAUGACGUCUGCUAAGAUAAUCAACCCUUGUAACGAUAACAUCUUGCUGACAUCUGAAAAGGUUUAUUCUGUACCCUCACUAUUCCUGAGUGCGUUAGGCUUUAGAUGUUGAUGUUAACAACAAAUUGGCAUCACUUUGUUGUACCUUUCCCAGAUCUUUUUUACGAUAUCAGUCCCUUUUUAGAAAAAGAAAAAUGACGACCAUUUUUCAGUGCAGAUUUCUGACGGUGGUGUCUCGUCAACAAAUACUCCAUGUUUUUGUGCUCACAUUAAAGCCCCACCCAUAAGGCAGACCUUUGAUCUUUCCAUAGAGGUGGCUUGCCUUUUCUUGUCUUAAUAGAUGUCUACGUCGGUAAAUAUCACUAGCAAAUUGUUUGUUUAUUUUUGGAGAAACUCAUGAGAAAUGCUUGGCAGGCCAUUCUUCAGUGCAUUGAAAUUACGUAUGACUUGGAUUUUCUUAAAGACGUUCUGGAAUUUCAGAGUGCACUUGGAAGCGUACAGUUUCAGAACCAAAGAGUAAGAAUUCUCUCUUUGAGCCUACUUUUUUAUCUUCUCCUGGCGAUUAUGUAUGAUAUAUUUCUGCAGGUUCUCGGAUGUUAUCAUUCAUUCUCAGUGCACUUUUUCCCUGCUUUGUUAUGCCUGCCCUAGCAUUCAAGUUACUCAUUUUGAUUUCACCAGAAAAAAUUACCCAUCAAAGUAUGUCACAUCUUGGUUUACAUUCUGAUGUUUGAAAGUCUUAGUCUUUAUUGUUGUGGGAUAGUAAGUACCAGCUUAUUUCCAAAUCCAUAAAUGCAUUUACUUCCAUAUUGGCUUUAAUGGAUAUAUUCAUAGGCCUAAUAUAUAUAUAUAUAUAUAUAUAUAUAUAUAUAUAUUUAUUUUUAUUUUNNNNNNNNNNNNNNNNNNNNUAUAUAUAUAUAUAUAUAUAUAUAUAUAUAUAUAUUCUUUUUAUUUUUUCUAUGGUGUUGUUAAGUAUGAUAAUGUCUUUGAAUAUGACUAACUAGUUUUACGGUAGCACAGUAAUGGAUAGUCAUAAUUGUGGCUGUGCUAUUUCUUGUGUCUUGUUUCAUCUCUCCGAGAUGUGAAAUUUUUCUUACUUAUAAUGUUCUUUGCUUUUACAUGCCACCUCGUUGUUGUAUUUUCAUUUGAAGCUUGAGGUUCAAGAAACCAUUAUGUAUUCGUCCCACAUGAACAGCUUUCGGCUGUAAACUUUUUAAUUCUUCAUUAAUAUUUUAUGCAUCAGCUGGCUUUGUUGACCUUGGUAUCUCUUCUCCGUUGAUGUUGUAAACGUCUUUUGUUUUUGACUAAAUAUAUGAGUUGUACUCAUUUUGAUUAUUUUUAUGUUAAAAUUAUUAUAUUUUAUAGAAAAAUUUGGUUGAAUUGCAGGUUAUCUCGUCAUUUAAUGGCUUUGUACAAGUCAAUGCUAGAGUGUUGUCUAAAGCUGAGUAAGUGUUGUCAUUUAAUGGCUAUGUUUCUGACUAUAGUCACACUUGAGGGACUAUAUUUUGUGCAUGCCUAAUUGCUAUUUCCUAUUGCAGGUACAUCUUCCUAACUCGUAAAAAGGUUAACUGGGAUGUCAGUGUUCGAAAUGUUAAUGUAAAGGUUCCUCAGAUAUGCAACGACUCAGAAUCUCAUAUUAUGGUAUGCCUUCUGCUGGUCAAGCUGUAUUGUGCCUCAUGGAUUAUUUAAAAUAUUAGUUUUUCCUAGGCUCAAAUAAAAGAGUUGUUUUUUGAGCUUAGUUGCUCUAACCUCGUUAGAUUUGAUGACUUUCUGUUAGUAGUUCUUUUCUUUCUGUUGUUUGUAUUUCUUUUUUACGUAUAUUAUAUGGUAAUAGUAUAGGUGUGGUAUUUUACCCUCAAGGAUUCCCGUAAAAUACUAUUCCACUUUUAGGAAAAAUGGUCCUACUGUGGAAGUACUAGUUUGGAGGGCUUUACUUCGUUACAGAAUAUGAUCUUAAUGGACUUAAUUUUCUGCCGCAAUUAUAUGUGGAAUUUAAUUUCACGAUUUACCAUAUAGACCCGGAUUUAUUGCUCCUCUUCACAGCCAAUGCUUUUAUUCCGUUAUCACCAAUGUUGACGGGCCACAUAAUCCAGAGGAUAGAUGAUCUAGUAGUUUUUUAGGAGUUGAUUGUUAUGCCUCUAGAACCUUCCGAGUUCUGGUAUUUAAUUGAAUAUGUUUUCAUUUUCGAAUAAGAGAAUAUCCUUCUCCACGAGCUCUGGUGUCUCUACACAGAGCACCAAACCGGAUUUUAUCUUUAACAGUUAUCACCAAACUUUUUGUUUUGAAUCUAACGCUGGACCUAACCAAAUCAAGCCCUACGUUCCGCAAGUAUCUUGUAGAUUUCUUGUAGUUGGAAGAGGAUGCAAACACUAUGUAAGUCCCCAGCUCGAUUAUCACAUGAGUUCUCUCUGGUCUGCACAGGAUGUAAACACGUUUUUAGCUCGACUAUCAUCUUUACUGGGUCCCUUUUUAUCCCUUUUCUUUCCUUUCCAUGAGAAUGGUAUUAAAACAAAGAACUUCCUCUGGGGGUCUUAUUUUUUAGUGAAACUCGAGUUAUUUGGUGGAGCUUCCUAUAGGCCUCUCAAUUUUUAUUAAAUCUCAAAUCAUUGCUUCCACCUUAAGAUCACAUCUUUCUAUGUCUCUGACGGGUGAAUUUUGCAAGUGUGAAUGAUGAUGGAACGAAUGAUAGAUACCAAUGUCACAUUCUCUCGUGUUUACUUGGAUUUAGGUCCACGUUCCCUUAUUUUGUGAAGGAUUAUAAAGAAUACUGCCGUGAUUGUAUCUCACAAAUAAUCAUGUCUUCACAAAAUAAAGGAACAUUAUCCUUGCUCUUUAUCAAAGUUUGUUCCUCACUCUCUUCUGACACGACAGAGAUGACCACUCCUUACCUUAGAUUUGUAGAUUUGUAGAUUUGUACAGGUGCUAGGUUUCGGCCAGGAUAGGAAGGUGCUUUAGAUUGCUCUUCCCAUCGAAUUCAGGGAGAGAUCUCUCAGAGAAGGAUAUAAUAAAAUAUCAUUUUUUAGGGCCUGAUGUGGAGUUUUUGCAUAUGACAUUGUAUAUAUAUCAUGUUCCACCGAAAAAUCAUUCGUCAUCAAAGCAUAUUCAGAAUGAUUUCUAUAUGGUUUGUAUUUUGAAUGGUAACAAGCUAUGCUUCCUGUUUGACUAUCAAGUUUGUUACCAAAUAUAAGGUCAGAUUUUUUAUUCAAAAUGAUAUUGCAUUAAGGAAAUUUGCCAAUCAUUUGAACAAAUUUGUACACAUUUCUUAGAUUUGAGCUUGAAAUUUCUCUUAUUCCUAUGUUAGAGUUUUUAAUCUUUCAGGUACUUAUACUCUGAUGUAGAUUUAUCCACUGUUUUCAGAGUGCAAACGCUCUAUAAAAAAAUCUAGUUUGGAUAUUCAUUCACCUUUAACGUCCCUUAAAUAGGGACGAGCCUUACAGACAUUUUCCCCAAAUGCCCUUAUUCAUUUACAAUAUUACCAUUAUACCAUCUAACAAGAACAUGUCAUGAAUUUCUUUAUCUUGAAUCCUUGCCUACCAUGUACAGAGCAUUGUUGCUCUUUGCCAUCUGUUUUCAUCUUGGCUGUAUGAAGACAUCUAACAUCAAUUGUUUGGAUCUAAGUACAAGAAGUUUAUUGUUUUCAUACUGUGCAGGUACUAAAACUAGGGACUCUUCACCUAAUGUCAAGAACCAGAACGAAAAGUGACUCUGUAAUGAUUGAUAGUAAGGACCACUUUUGUGAUUCUUUGAUGAACAUGUUGCCAGCGUACAACUUGCCAUCAAAUUUUGAGCUUGAAGAUCUCUACGAACACCUGGAGAUUGAUCUAAUUGACUUUAAGGUGGCACUUCAUUCCAUUUGACAGUCUGAUAUAUAUAUAUAUAUAUAUAUAUAUAUAUAUAUAUAUAUAUAUAUAUAUAUAUAUAUAUAUACUANNNNNNNNNNNNNNNNNNNNNNNNNNNNNNNNNNNNNNNNNNNNNNNNNNNNNNNNNNNNNNNNNNNNNNNNNNNNNNNNNNNNNUAUAUAUAUAUAUAUAUAUAUAUAUAUAUAUAUAUAUGUAAUAUCAAAUUCUGAUUUUCCCUUUAAUUUUUUAGGCAAACAUCUUGGCAGCUAAGUCAAUUGACGUUCUUCCAGUCUUGGGGAAGUUCAAUGCAACUGUUAUCCUCAGGUUAUGCGUAUUUUUUGAUGAACCGACAAUGAAGCAGUUGGAUGUAAUUUUCUUCCCAUGGUUUCAUAAAAUAUGCUGGUCUGAAGUUUAACCCUUUACCGUGUUCCUUAAUGUGGAGUUUUUCUUGUCUCUUUAUCUCCGAAUCUACAUACCUGGUUUAAAUCUAGACCAUAUCUGUGUUGCUUGGGAUCAAUUAAUCUUUACGACAAUGGGAUUGAAUUUUAUGCCAUUUUUCUGUGUUCGGACAUUCAUAAUCGUUGGUGGGGAAUCAUGUAAUGUACUCUAUCAACAGUGUCUUAGAAACCCCAAGACCAAAGCGUCAGAAUCCUUUCUACCUUAGCAGACUGCUUGGUCACUGUCAGCUCGCAAUGACAUGGUGUUCUAUCAUCAUUUUUUAAACAAGUUUUACUAAGCGUACUGCAGAUAAACAUGCUUGCAAGCUUCUAGAAGAUAAUAUAAAUUCUGGAAGAAAUAGAAUAUUGUGGUGAUCCAUUCUAAGGUGUCGGUAUGUCAACCCCGUAAGAGGCAGAGAUUUGGAAGGCGCUUAUAAGCAGUUAACCUGAUUACCGUGCAGCAUGGUGAAGAUUGAAUUUAAGCCAUUAGUGAAUAGUGUCUACAAUGAACAAAUGUUCGUUUCAUGUACGACAUCCUUUUUUUAUUUUGACUAUAACUUGGUUUGGUGUUUUUAGUUUGGUGAUGUAUCCUUGUAUCUUUGGCUUUUCAGCUUUACUUAUUUUUAAUUUUUUCAGUUCUUAGUACUGUUGACCGUUUGAUACAAUCUCCCCGUGGUCAUAAGCCCAAUUUCCGUGGAUUGAUCAAAAGGGGUGGCUGAUGCUUGCGUAUUCUUGUUUGUGCAUUGCAAUCCUCUCAAAUAGAAUAAAAUAUUCUACUUUUAGCUGUUUUGCUUGAUUUGAGCUUUUGGUUGAUAAUCUCCGAGUUCAUGGCCUUCGAUGCGCUGAAAAUGUGAAAGUCAUAUUCCUUCAUCGAAUUGCAGGCCCACUGCACUCUUGGUUUACUUGAUGUGCAUAUUUCCCCAAUGGUAUUCGGCACUCUUUCAAAAUUAGGCUUUAUGAAGAAUGAAGAAGCCAUUGAGAAAGGUGAUGAAUUACAUGCUGCAUCUGCACAUUCAAAUGGCCUGAAUUUGUCAUGGUACUCGGCAUCUAUCCAGUUGAAUCAUUUCAAUUUGUAUGUGGACCUUGAAGAUGAUUCAGACCGAAGUUCUGUGAUUUCAAUCAGUUUAACGGAUUCUAUGAUUGGGUCAGUCUAUUUUGAAAAUAUAUAUUCAAUGUAAGUUAUUCAUUGUUUUUGGGAAAAGUGUUCUAACUUUGCAUCAAAUUGCAGAUAUAUAUAUCAAGAAUCUGUUGAUUUUCGUUUCCUUGUGAAGAUGAUGAAGAUAAGUGGUGAAGGUGUUUCGAAAGACAGACCCAGUAGCUAUAUCCUUUGCUCAUCUAGAACCAGUGCUAGUGCAGAAUCCCACUCUUCUCGUGAUGAAGAACUCGGUGUCAACAGAUAUGAAACUGCUCGAUCUGGACGAUGUUCCUUGAGUGAUGAAUGCUUUGUAUUUCAUUAUCGGGCUCACAAAAAUGGUUCGACAGCUCAACAUAAGUGUGAUAUAGGUCUCAGUGAAUUUGAUUUCCACAUCCACCCUUGUGUCGUUGGGAUUCUGCAGGAGUCAUACAGCAGAAUAUUUGCCCACGGAAAUUAUUCAGAUGAUGCUUCUUUAAGUUCCUCUGUGCAGGGCUCCUUCAAAUCAGGCAAAAUCAAUGACAAAAGUUCAGUCUUUGGCAACGAUCUCCAUAAUUCUAAACGGUUAUCUGAUUCUCCUUUCAAUCAGUUUCCUUCCACAAACACUGGUUCUGCCGGUUCCUCCUGUAGUACUGGAAGGUCAUUCUUUCAGAGUCUUCCUAGGAGAAAUGAUUAUAUUACAAAUGAGGAAUCUCCCAUAAUCCAGAUAGGUGGUGUCAAUAAAAAGCCUGAGAGCAUACCUGGAAUCGGCAGUAAUGUAGACCGUGCCUGUCUGAAUUCGAGAAGCACUGAUAUUUUCACGGUGGAUUUUAAUCUCAGAGAAGUCAGAGCUCAUUUCCAUGAUUCGUCCUCUGUUCUGGCAACUCUUAGUUGCCCAUCAUUUGGGCUUUCGUUUUUCUUUGAAGGGGCUGAUUCUUGGGAUGUAUUUUGCCAAUCUGAAGGAUUGAAUCUUUCUUCACCAUGGUCCACUUCAUCUUGGUCUUCUCCAAAUAUCUCUGAGCUUGUGUGGGGCCCAGCCUCACCGACCAUUUCCUCAACUCUUAACAUUCAUGUUAAAAAGUUCAGAAAUGAGGCAGAGCUCCUUCUAAUUGAAACAUAUAUCAUGCUUCAGCGUGUAAGCUGUAUUUUACCGCCUGAGUUUCUUGCUAUGGUCAUUGGCUAUUUUAGUUUGCCUGAUUGGACUCCACAGAGAAAAGGAUUUCUUGUCACUGAGGAUGAAAAGUUUGGGAGCGCUCAAAGUGAAUAUUGCCAUCUUGGGUAUAAGUUUGAGAUACUUGAUUCUUCUCUGAUUUUUCCCGUGGAAAACAAAGAUUACUGUCUCCAGCUUAGUCUUCCAAAACUGAGUGGCAGUUUCAUUCCAACAAUUCAUUCAAUAGAUGCUUUAAGAGAUGUGCCCGCUGACUGUGUGAUUCCUGAAAUAAAAAUUUCUGACAUACUUCAUCUGCUGAAUGUAUCUGUACGGGGUACAUCAUUGACAGUCGUUUUGCUUGAUGAUGGUAGAGUUCGAUUAAUGCCUGGGGAGCAUUCUUCUAGUAGAAACGUUACAUUACUUUCACUGCUUGAUGCUGACUUUUGGAUCAGAAUACCACUUGGAACCGAGCCUGAAGAUGAGAAGAAUGCUGUUCCUACUUCCAUCAUGGUGAAAGCAGAUGCCUGCAAUUUGGUCAUUGAAGGUAAGAAAGUAGUCAUAGAUUGUGCUUAUACCAAAACCAGUAAAGCAUUGACUGAAAUACAUUGUUGACGUUGCCAUUAUUGAUUUUUUUAUGUUUUUGUAUGUGUAGAUGGGUGGCUUUUUCAAGCCCUUGAAUCGAUGAGCACAUCCAUAGAUCAGCUUUCAAGUGUUAUUGGUGAAUCCAAUAAUUUCAAAUCUGAUGCUUUGCAAUUUAUUCAGUUAAAGAGAACGUUGAAGGAGACUAAUGCUGUUACAAACCUUUCUGCUGAGAUUCCCAUUGAUAUGAGAAUAUGUGCCAAUGCACUGUCAUUGAAGUUGGUACGCUCUGCCUCGUCAGAACUUGUUGCAGUUGUGAAUACGAAAGUGAUGCUUUCUGCACUUUUAAGAAACGAAAUGGUUCAUAAGGUUGAUGCUGAUAUUAUGCAUAUAGUUCUACAUUCUUCUCUGAAUUCCGUUGUCUUACUAUCAUUUGUCUCAGAAGAUUUCAGUAGUCUCACGAGGAUCAACUUCUCCAGAUCAGAUGAAAAUGGAAAUGAACUUCAACUUUUUAUCCCUGUCCUUGACAUAUGGCUGCAUUUUUCAGACUGGAAUAAAGUAAUUGACCUUGUCAGUGCCUACGAAGGGCUUUCAAGUGGGGUAUCAAGGUCACCUGUGGACUCUUCACCUUCAGAAUCUAAAUCACGGAUUGAUCCUGAAGCUCCAGCUGUAUCGCCUUCCUUUGCAUGCAUAGAUGUCACCCGAAAAGAAGUUGACCUCACUGUGAAAUCCAACAAAAUGGUGCUGUCACUUCACUUACCCAUCAAGGACAUGGAAAAACCCAUGGGUAACAAGGAGGUUGGUGAGUCCCUGGAGUUAUGGAAGAACAUACUCGGAGAAAGUAUGCCUUCCUUCCAUGGAUUGCAUUCACAAUACUUAACCUUUACUCUGCACAGCCGAGAUACAAAAUUGACUGUAAGCAUGAGGGGUAUGGUAAUUAAGUGUAGUGCUGGAAGGAUGAAAAUGACCAUCAAGGUAACCGAAAACCAAGAUUUUCAAUCCAUGCCAUUCAUUCAUUUUUUUCUGGGAAAGGUGUCAGCUGAAAUACAUGGGAAACCACAGAAGUUUUGUCUUACUAUAUCUGACGCGAAAGUGGAAACUUUAGAUAUGAAUCUACUCCAGGAAAUGCUCAAAAUAUUAAUGGACAUUCAGCUUGCAACUUCUGGAACGGAAAAUUGGGAGAUGCCUCUUCACUCUGUAUUCUUUCAUGUGCAUUUGACAAAGUUGUCUUUGCUGUUAAGCGACCAGAGGGUAUGCUACCUUGUUGCAUCUUUCUUGUUCCUUUUUCAUCUUCAACAGGCCCACCGAGUUACUUUGGGCUGCUAUUUGCUUUUUUUAGUCAAAUCAUUUUCAUUUACAUCUUUUGCAUAUUUUUCCUCAUAUAUCAAGCAUGACUCUUCUCCUCACUGGUAAGACUAUUUUUAACCUCAAGGAAACUUUUUAUGAACUUGAAUUGCAUUUGAGAAGGUACUUACUUAUCGUGAAGUGAUCUCUUUAUGUCUCGCACAUUUUUGUGAAAGUAAUUUUUGUAAAUGGUGUGCUUUUAGCUUGCAGCUUAACAGUAUUCAAAUACUCAACAUUCCAAAACUAGAAAUUUAAUGUUACACCAGACACCUCACAAUUUUUGACCUCAUUGCACACAAUUCGAAAAAUUGCGGGAAGUUUAUAUUUAUUUAAAUUAUUUUACUGCUAAUUGCGUAAAAAAUGAUAACAUAGGUAAAAACGUUGUGUUAAACAACAGCAUAGAAUGUUUCGAUUUCUUUAAAUAGAGAGGAUAUGCUAAAUUGUUACAGAGGGCAAAAGAUAUGAAUAGAGAGGAUCAAAGGAUUCUAGCCAAUUAUGUAACUCGUCCAAUGUGCUGAUGAAACAAAUUUUUUAACUCGAUCUCGGAUGUUUUAUUUUUAUUUUUCUCUUAAAUUUGGAGAUAGUAUUUUGAAUUUCAUUGUGGUCAUUUAUAUUAAUUAAGCUCAGUUAGAUGAUUUAUAAGCUAAUUAUUUGAAUAUUUUACCUCUGCAUGGACUCUUAUCUGUGCUUUUUCAUCAUUCUGUAGAAUAAACAUCCUUGGUUAGUUGUAUGCACAAGACACCUUAAAAUAUUCUGUUACAUUAUUAUCCCUAUUUAUUAUAAUCUUUUAUUUGUAUUGAUAUAUUCUAUUUUAGACACUAAAACUCAAAUAUCACGAAGAAUAAGCAGAUAUUUGACUUGGUUUUGCGAAUAAUAUUUGUUAUGCAACCGCAGUGGAAACUUAAUGCUCACAUAGAACCUGGAAAAGUGGAUUGGAACCCAGUAAAUUAAAGAAAAUGUUUUUCCUUUCAUCCUCUCAUUGGUUAUUAUGACGACAACAUGUUUCCAAGCUACCUUUCCAAGUUGGCAGAAGCCAAGGUCAACAGUGGGAUUUGAGAGUCUGGUUUUCUGACUUGUAGUGGCACAAUUUAGAAACUUGUAGGGAUUCGAGAGUCCUCUGGUUUAUGACUCUUUGUGUUAAUUUGCAAAAAUUCUGAUGAUUUUUGGUCUAUCUAAAUUGUCGGAUAAAAGCUGAAGUUCUUUUAUGGUUAUGGCCUCAAUGAUUUGAUGAGUUUCAAAUGUAGAAAUAUCUGUCAUCAGUCUUUAUUGGUUGUGGAGUCCAAUUUUUUGCCGAUUUUAUUUAUUGACUUUUAGGGUUACCAUUCACAAAUCAAAAUGACUCCGGUCUUCACGGCUUGUGGGUUCAAAGUUUGGACACUAUGACGGCUAAUCUCUAUGACAUAGGAUCAAAACGUAGGUGAUGAUGCGACAUGGCAGCCCAUUGCUGUUAUGGGAUAACCCUGUACAUUACUUGCACAUUUGCAUUAUAUGCUUGCUUCAGGGAAAAGUCAAUGGUCUUCCUUAAUUUAUUGUUGCUCUCAGUUGACGAUUUCUUUUAUGGGCCUAAAAAAACUUCUCAGCCAUUCAAGAACCGAUUUUAGCCUCUCAUAUCUGGGUGAUGCCUUUUUCACUCGUUACACUUGUGUGCAGCUGAGAUCUUGUGGAUCCAUAUUUGACAUUACUUGUAAGAACAUGCUUGUUGAAGGGAAAAGUGCUACAAAGUUGUCAGUUGAAUCUCAGCUUUCAGUAAAUUACAAGAAUUUUCAGAAGGUAUAAGAUUCUCUAUGCAAAGAAAGAUUCUACUGUUCCAUUCUAGGCCUUCCAAGAAAUAAACAUAAUGGCAUUUCAGGUUAUGUGGGAGCCCUUUAUAGAACCAUGGAGCUUUUGUUUGGAGCUUAUUCAAUAUGUGAACAGUGGUUUCCCUGGUAGACCUGACACUACAGAUGUAUUCUUGAGCUCACAGCAAGAGCUUAAUUUGAAUAUAACGGAACCUGUCAUUGAGGUACCUCUCUUCUCUAGUCUUCUUAUCGUUAUUUUUGAAUCGGAUACGCUCAUUUGAUAGGAGUGUAUGCUCUUGUACAUGUGUCCUGGUUGUCGAAGGAAUCGAAACGUGUUCUUGAGGAAAAUCACUUGAAAAAAUAAAGGUAACCCGCUUGGAAACUGCCUAGAAACACAGGGGAAGCAUGGGGGUGUAAGAUACUUUGCAGGAAACACGAGGAAAUAUUCAAUGCAAGUAUUCAAUGGGAGACAUGGGCUGUAAGAAGGAUGCUGAAGCACGCAGUACCUAUCUUUUAAUUGCCUUAAUUCCAUAAUAAUAUAAUCGAUCUCCUGAAAAAAAAUAUAUUAGCAUAUCUGCUGUGGUUUUUUUUCAUGAUCCUUCUAUUUUUAUUUUGUCUCCUGUUGCUUCUACUUCUCCCUCUGGCAGCCACCUUAAACUUUUCCUGAGUACGAUUUUCUUCUCUCCUUGCUCACGAGGAGAGCAUCUGGUCAGCCCAGCGGUGUGUGAUCAAUGUUAAUUUUAGUUCUCUUUACUGGGGAAAAUUUUCUGCAGGCUAUUUUCCUGGUGCACCGGAUGGCUAAUGACACGGUGGACACGACUGGGUCUUACAAGUGUCAUGAAAGUGGCGGUCAACUGGCUUUUGAGUUCAGUCACAACGCACUGGGAAAGCACGCUCCCUAUAUUAUCUGCAACGAGACAUCCUUGCCAUUUUCAUUUUGGGUGUCCUACGGCCCUUCCAACUCAGAAAGCACUAGUGUCAUGUCAAUGAAACAGGGGAACACUGUGCAGCCUGGAUUUUCCGUUCCAAUCUAUGUAGAGGAGCCCCCAGAGAGACACUUACCAAAAAAGGCAGCUUAUUCUUCCGAGAGACUCCUAGAGAGAAAAAUGAAUCCCGUUGCACAUCAUCUCAUUUCUGUUCAACUUGAUGGGACUUCAAAUCCGUCCAAGCCCAUGUCCAUGGACCUCGUGGGGAUUAGCUACUUCGAUGCCAGUUUUUCUAAAUCGAGAGCAGCAGGAACGGGUGUAGCUGAAGAUGAGGAGGCUUCACUCAAGGGUAGAGACAGUGAAUCUUACAUCACUGAUCCAUCAACCGGGCUUGUUGUUCCUGUUGUGUUUGACGUCUCAAUGCACUGUUACAGCAAGAUGAUAAGGCUGUACUCAACGGUAUGCAUUUAUGGACCUCCAUUCCAUUCAUUUUUGUUGCCAUCGAUUUGUCCUCAUCCUCGACAUUGUUUACCGUAAUUCAGGUCUUGUUGCUGAACGCAACGUCCAAGAGUCUAGAGCUACGCUUUGAUAUUCCAUUUGGUGUCUCUCCCAAGGUACAGUGACCUCCUUCCCCUGCAUGUGAAUCCACAGCUCCUAUUAAACACGGUACUGUUGGUGGGCCAUGGACAUUCUCCCGGUCCCACCAUCCCGCUUUCAAACACCUGAUGGCACCCAAGACAUGUGCCGCCAUUCGUUCUUAGCUGGACAUGCAUAGAGGUUGGUUUGAUUUCUCCCUUGUAGGGGCUGGGCAUGUUCAAGAGAAGGAAAAUACUCUUGCUUGUUCAUCCAUCAAAUCAGUAUUUUAUGGAUAAUGUGAUCUGUCCGCAGGAUGUUUGCUGAAAAUUUCCAUCUGGUUGGUCUACUUAUUAUAGUCUCUUUUUUCGUAUCAUCUCACGCUUUUAUUUAUUAUUUCCGUUUUGAAUUGGUAAGUAAUUUUUGUGGAAUUUACUGCUGAAGAAAUAAUGGGCAAUUUAUGAACACUAUUUUCUCUUCCCAGAUACUUGGUCCUAUCCAGCCUGGCCAAGAAUUUCCCUUACCUGUGCAUUUGGCUGAAGCUGUUGGGAUGAGAUGGCGUCCAGUUGAUUCAAACUAUUUCUGGAGUGAAGCUCAUUCUCUAUCUAAAAUUCUUUCGCAUGAGAAUAGACUUGGAUUCAUGAGGUCUUUUGUUUGUUACCCAUCGUUCCCCAAGAGUGAUCCCUUUCGUUGUUGUAUAUCCAUUGAGGACCGCAGUGUGAUUUAUCCCUACGGCUCAAAAGGUGGCUCUUCCCUCCACAUAAAUACCACAUCUGACGAAGUUAAGAUCGGUGGGCAGGAUAUGCUCAAUCAUGGUAAAUCAGAAAAAAUGUUUAUUCGUCAAGUGAGGCUGACCACUCCAUUGUUGGUGAAGAACAAUCUUCCUUCGCCAUUAUCCUUGACAAUUGACAGUGGUGGAGUCAUAACGUCCAUCUGCCUGUCAGAGGUCUGCCAUGAAUCUUUCUUCUGAGCGGCCCUCUCCUUCCCUAUAUUGCUUCUUUUCAUAUUAAGGUGGAUUCGGUUGCUGUGUGUUCUUCAGGUGGAUGCUGCCUCCAUCUUUCAGAUCGAUUCCACUCAUGACCUCGAGAUCACAUUCCAUCUGGAGGCUUAUAACCCGGUCAUUUCAAAGUUCCCUCGAGCAGAAACGUUCACAGCCAUGGCAAAGCUGCAUGAGACAAAGUUUGUAACGUCCGACCGACUAACUUUCUAUCCCAGCAAAAAUAAUGGUAAUUCGUCUCAUACAGGUCCCUUUCUUGAUGGAAUUUAUUUGUCCAUAGCAACAUAUUUGACUGACGGGUCGCUGCUCAUAUUAUACAGGUCCAAUAUGUGUCAGAGUGGAUAAGAUGAUGGAUGCCUAUUGUGGUGCACGAGAGAUAUGCAUCUCGGUCCCAUUCCUGCUGUAUAAUUGCACCGGUUUGCCGCUAGGAAUCAUAGAUGAUGAUCUCCAGUAUAAAGGGCAUCCCCAUUAUAUUCCAUCCAGUUACUCUCUCAUAGGGGAUGAGAAUACUUCUCCUGGAAGGCAUGGUAUCUCUCUUUUAACCUCAGGAAGGGAAUUGCUGACUGAUCCAUUGGGUACUGGUAGUAAUUUAGGGAAUCUAUUGAAUCACCACGCCAUGCGUUCGAGCAAGAUAUCUGAGCAACGUUUAUUGAAGACCCGAAGCAAACAAGCUGUGGCAGUAGAUUCACCUGAAGAUGCCCGUGAUCCCUGUGAGAGUGUUGCGCUGGAUAGAAUAGAGACUUCUCAUGCAAAGUUUGGCUGCAAUGGAAUCAGAGGUAGCCGACCGAAUUCCUCUGCAAAUAUCAAAGGCAUGGAAAAUGAAGGAAAAGUCAAGCCACUCAUGUAUUCUCCUCCUAGUCAUUUAUCUGAGAAUGAUCUUGUGGUUAGACUUCAGAAGUAUUCGCUUCAACAACAAGUAACUGAUGACUGGAAUGAUACAUGGUCAAGCCCAUUUUCUCUUGUCCCAGCAAGUGGAUCAACCAGUGUUGUCAUUCCUCAACCAGGAGCAACUGAUGCAUUUCUAGUGUCUGUCACCUCAAGCCAAGUUUCUGGAGACCUCACUGGAAUGACUAGGGCAGUCAUUUUCCAGCCAAGGUACUCUUUUUUUUUGUUGUUGUAUUUAGCAAAAUGAAAAGAAUUGCAUAAGUUUUUAAUUUUUGCUUUUGCGAACGUGUGUAUAGCGUUUGCUUAGUCUAUCAACACAAAAAUUCCCUCUUGUCCGAAGUUCCUUAAUUUUUGUAAUUAAUACUAGUUAUCAUCACUAAUGAAUUCUCAUCCUUUAGAGAUUUCAUUGCAUUUUCUGUUGGAUGCAAUAAGCUAAGACAGCUAUUACUGAAUUUCUACAUGUACACUGAAUCAUAACUUAGGGGCUCUCUGUACCUUGAAAUAUACAUGCUUCAGAGUUGGUGUGGGAUCAGAAUUAAGACUCUGACCUCGAUGCCUCGAACUCAGGUUUUAGCCCAAUAAGGGAUAUAAAAGUCGUAUCCCUUUGUUCAUACUUAGAAAAGGCCCUUUUGAUCAUCGUCAUCAGAUGAGCUCAGUCCUCAAUGAACGACGAUUAAUCUUUUGUUUCGUUGGCUCUCGGUGUGUAUUUCAGAUGUCAGAUGAUAAAUAUGAGCACAAAGAUUUCUUCUUAAGUAUCCACUCCUUGUGAAUCGUCUUCUUCCAUAAAUUGACUGACUGAAACUGAAAACUAAUCGAGUUCCUCAACUUCACAAUCAUGCUGUUGUUCUGGAGAAGUCACUACUUGAAUUUUGAGUCUUCUAGCUUGAGGCUGGAACCUCUAAUACCUAUUUUCGCACGAAUAGCACCAAAAUGAUACGUUGCAGGCAACCCAUACCUUAUAUUUGACCUUGUUUAGCUUCAUCAAAAUGAUUUUAAGUGACAUAUUUUCACUUCCAUAAAUAGUUUCGGCAUGAACAAACCUAAUAGACGAUUGCAGUCGUCGAGUUUUUUUCUCCUAAAGACUGUUAUCACGAUGCCUGAUUUUUGUAGAUCUCGAAAAAAUAGGCCAACAAAGCAUGUGGAAGAAGGGGGGUGAGACUCUCCUUGAUUAGACAUUAAAAAUGUUCGUCGAUUUCCCGUGUGUCCAGGGAUUACCUCUGCUCUGGUUAUUUGACCUGGUUUCGGAUGGACACCCAUCUUUGGGUGGUUUUCCCACAGUUUUUUUGAUAAAAACUUGCAGAAAGACUACAAAUCAGUCCCCUCGGACUCUAUUUCCUGUAAAAGACAUUUAAAGAAUAGGAUGCAGGAGACGUUGUUUGGGUUCUCUCGACCUAUUUAUUAAUGGGGAAAAUCCCGAAAAGAUUAAAAGAAACUUUUAUAAAGGGUACCAUGGAUAAAAUACACAAAUUUUAUCCUAAAUGAGUUAAAGAUACAAUAAAAGCCACAAAUGCCCUUAUCUCUUCAAGAAUAACUUCAUUCAUACUUAAAAUUUUCAAGAAUAUAAAUUUACCUGAAUCCACUUUUUUCCUGUAGACUUGGCGAUUUCAUUGAACUGUCUGCACAGAUCCACUAAGAUGAAAAGUGUUCAAGAUGGGAGUGUAUCCUGUCAGAUACUGACAUUGGUGGCCUCAAAGGUUCAUAUAGCCUUUGGCUUAGGCCAUAACAUUUCCUAGCCUGCAUAUGAAAUUGUGUCCUCUGUGGCAUCUUCCAGAAGGUAAAAUGAAAAAGAAGAGAACUAAAAUGACGAGGGAGCACCAAUAUAGAACCAUUGCAAAGACCCCCGUCACUCUGGGAGAGAGGUUACUACAUUUGUGGCCAGGUGAGGAAUGUCGUCAGUUACUUUGUUUGGGUACCUAAUAUAUCGCAUAUUGCAUAAGAAUAAUUGAGGUUUAUUCUCUAGUGUCAGAAAAAACCUUGGGCUUGGUCCUUUGAGUGUUCCACAUCUCUUGAAAAUGUUUGUCUCUCUAAUAAAAAGUAAUAAAAAGAAUUGAGAACAGAUCCCUUAAUGAUGGAUAUAGUAGUUCCAUUGGUUGGAGGAUAGAUAUGGUCUGGUCCUUGAUCAUCUACCCGACAAUUAUCCUCUCCUGGACCUUUCUCCUUAAUUUUUCAUUAUUUGAAUUCAUGCGUCAAUUGAUUUUGUUUGUAGUGAUGUAUUAAUCAUAACUGGACAUUCCUCUAUUUUUUGUUUGAAAAAUAGAACUCCAAUCCCCUGAGCUCUAUCUUGUGUCUGUAUUGACGAAUGUGAUGUAGUUGGGUUUUUAAAAAACACACUUGUAUUGAUCAUUUUUUUAUGGAUGUAUUUUUGCUUCACGACAGAUACGUUAUCUGUAAUGCUUGUUGCAAGCACCUAUAUUACAAGCAGAAGGGAACCAGUGACUCUCACAGCAUCAGGUUGGGCGUGGGACAACAUUCCCAUCUCCACUGGACGGACAUAACAAGGUAGUGUGGCCAUUUUUGUAACUAAGUGAAAAAUCUUCCAUAGAUUUACACUUCAUACAGAAUAUGAUGAAGUAAAAGUGUCUUAUUUUCUCUUGGUUGCUCACUUUCCCAGCCAUCUUUUUCAGACGAUUCAUGUGGGUUUCUUUUUUAUGCCUACUAGUCCAAAAUCAAAGUUUUGACAUUGACCAUAAGUAGCAUUACACCUGCAUAAUGCUUGUGAUUAAUCACUGCCUCACCCUCCAGCCUUCUACAGUCUCAGCCAAUAGAAACAGCGAGAAGAGAGAUAAGAGGAGCCCAAGAAAUUAUCCCACAUUAUAUGAACUCCAUCCGUUCGCGCUACUCCCCUCCCUAAAGACUAUCCAGGCUUCUUCUUUGCUAAGCAAACAAGAAAGCAUGUGAGCGCCCAGCAUCUGAUGUAAUGAUGAUGCCAUUUUCAUUAGAAGAUAGAGCGAGGUCCGAGAACCAUUUUAGGUUAAGAAUUCGAAUGCAAAUCGCCUUACAUGGUACUUCAAUAGUAAGGCGAGAAAUAUGUUAAUAAUUCUAAAAUAACCCUCAUAGCAUGAAGGAAUUCAUUCUCGAGAUCCAUGGGUUAGUACCCUCAACCUCUCAGCUUCAUACACCAAACUAGCACUGCUGCAUACAAUUUCAUCAAGAUGCCCAUCUAAUGCACCUACUUUCUGCCUACUUUUUUUCCAA